AAGCCGGCGAUCCGGAGGCUGGCCAGGAGGGGCGGCGUGAAGCGCAUCUCCGGCCUCAUCUACGAGGAGACCCGCGGCGUCCUCAAGAUCUUCCUCGAGAACGUCAUACGCGACGCCGUCACCUACACGGAGCACGCCCGCCGCAAGACCGUCACCGCCAUGGACGUCGUCUAUGCCCUCAAGCGCCAGGGCCGCACCCUCUACGGCUUCGGAGGCUAGAUUCGUCUAGUGGUGCCAGUAGUGGGGCAACUUCCUCGUUUGCUCUGUGUCAUGUGUUGUGUGGUAGAUGGGAUUUACUGCUUUGGCGUGCGUCGUUGUGCUCUGUCUUGGGUUCAGUAGGCUGUGUAAUACCCAAAGUAUGUUGUGUUCAAUGAAAUCAGUUCAAUUCUAAAUCAUGACGAAAUGCUUCACUGUUGAAUUUGUGUUUUGCUUUUCUAAGACUGGCUGAUUUGAUUUCUCUGUUUAGAUUGUAUGGCUGCACUGAAUAUGUCUUCUAUUUGUUCAAGUAUUUGAAUCUCGUCGCUUCUCAUUUUAGAUCGUAUUUCAUGACAAAUUUUCAUGACAAAUUUCCAUUACUUCAACACGCUCCUUCUAUCUCCUUGAUGAUGUUAUAUUCCUAAACUCCUAUGUACUUAACACUUCUCUCUAUCACACAUGAGCAAUUAAUUUUCUCUAAUGUUUCCAUUUGCACAACAGAAUAGUACCUUUAUUCCAUUACUCAUGUUGAUAUAUUUGUGCUCUCCAAGAUUUCAGUUCACAUAUCAAUUUUAAUCUUUGCAUGUAAAUUUUGAUAAUGUGUAAGGUUUAUAUGCUUUUAUCCCAUUGAAAACUUGCUUUAAUUCCUCGGAUGAUAAUCCUGCUGUUAAACCCAUGUCGUGUUUACUAAAUAAUUUGCCUCCUAUAGUGUGCUUCUGUCGUAAUGCCUGAUUUGCUCAUAUGGACAAUAAUGACUAGAUCUAUGGACCCAUAUAUCAGUCGCUUAGAUAGCUUGAUUUUUUUCCUAAUCUAGAUUUGGAAAGAAUUAGUAAUGGGCAACAUCAUUGCUGAACUACAGUAUGGAUGUACUGUUGAUAUUGCACAUUGCAACCACAUGGUUGUCUUCUCGGGCUUUUGAGGCACGCACACCUAUUUAUGGUUCUGGUUCAAGUUUAGUUUAAUCUACAGUUACAAUUAAUAUUGUCUUUCAAGUAAAUUCAACAUCGUGUUAUCUCAUAUGAACAUGAUACAACCAUAUUGCAUAUGGAGCUUUCAACAAUUCACGGCAAUUCCUCAUGGUUCUUUUUUCGUGUGCAGGCCCUAAGAUACAUGUGUUGUCGAACAUGAGACUCCCUAAGGUGUGGAGCUAGAAGAGGUGGCGUUUCCAAAGGCAGUGCCAGCUAAUGCAUGGAUGGCCAACGAAGCUAAUGCAUGGAUUUUUCAAAAAUAAAGAUGUCAAGGCACAACUUGCUGGCGGAACCAAGCAUGUUGACCAUUGCAAUUUGAACGCAUAUAUUAUCGAAAAUGGGAUGAUUUGUGUAGUUUUAUAGCAAUACAAAUGCGCUUUUGGAUGUAAAUUUUGCGGCAACACGCUUUGGAAUUAAAUGGAUGGGUGAAUGAAGAGAGGGAAAAAAACGUAUGUCCUAAGUAGAAUGAUUAUCUAGAGAAAUGUCUUCAUAUAUUCCAUUGUCGUCCCGUUGCAUCGCACGGGCAUCUUACUAGUGACAUCUGAAAACUGAGCUGUGAACAUUCUCGUCGACCUCCAAUCACUUGGCCUGGCCCAAAUCAUUGUAGCACAAGCAGUCAAGCAGCCCACAUUUCUCUCUAAAAAAAAAGCUUAUGCCCCCACCUCCGCCACGUCACCGAUCCGCACCACCAGCCUCCCACCGCAUCCCACCUUCCGAUCGCAAUCCAACGGCCGAACUCCAGCAUCCCACGGAUCGACCCAGCAGAGAGCAGAGACCUCCCGCCUCCAACUCCCGAAAAUUUCGGGGCUUCCCUCGCAACCCCACCCCAUAUAAAGCCGUCACCUCCGAUUCCCCAAUCCAUCCCAAGCUUCAACAUCCACACGAGUCCUUCUUCUCUCAAACAAAAACAAAUCCAGACACGAUGUCUGGGCGCGGCAAGGGCGGCAAGGGGCUGGGAAAGGGCGGCGCCAAGCGCCACCGGAAGGUCCUCCGCGACAACAUCCAGGGCAUCACCAAGCCGGCGAUCCGGAGGCUGGCCAGGAGGGGCGGCGUGAAGCGCAUCUCCGGCCUCAUCUACGAGGAGACCCGCGGCGUCCUCAAGAUCUUCCUCGAGAACGUCAUACGCGACGCCGUCACCUACACCGAGCACGCCCGCCGCAAGACCGUCACCGCCAUGGACGUCGUCUACGCGCUCAAGCGCCAGGGCCGCACCCUCUACGGCUUCGGAGGCUAGAUCUGCAGUGGAGCAACUUCCUCGUUUGCUCUGUGUGAUAUGUGCUGUGCUGGAUGGAUUUACCGAUCUGGUGUGCGUCGUUGUAUUCUGUCUUUGGGUUGAGUAGGCUGUGUAAUACCUUGUUCUGUUCAAUGCAAUCAGUUCGAUUCUGAAUCCUGACGAAAUGCUUCACUGUUGAAUUGUGAUUUGUUUUCUCUAAGACCGACUGAUUUGAUCUGUUUGGACAGUACAGCUACAGUGAAUCAGUCUUUUAUUUCUUGACACUCGUUGCUUCCCAGAUUAGAUUGUGCUGCUACUGAAUCUGGCUUUCAUUUGUUCAAGUAUUUGACGCUAGUUGCUUCUCGGUUUAGAUCCCAUAUCUGUACCAAAUCAUCCUUCUAUCUGGCGCUAGCUGCAAUAUGUGGAGAUGGAAUUCUUCCGCUCAGGCUUACAGUGUCCAAUGUUUUGGUUUGGCACCACUGUGGAAUGAUCUUCGAAUAUUUCUGUUGCUUUCAGUGGUAUGAAUACUCAAAUAUGGCUUCUGUUCCUGAACGCUACAUCAAUCCUCUGGAGCUACUGUCAGCGUGGAUGUACUACUGAGGCUCUUCACUGAACAUAUUUCUUUGUCCUAAUUGUACUAUUCCUUCGAGGAAUGAGCACUAGGAAUUUUAUAUUCUUUUCAAGAAUCUUGUUCCUCACUGUGAUAUACAGUGCAACCAAGUCAUAGGUUGUUUCUAUGUUCUUUUUGAGAAACUUUGUAGACUCUAUAGAGCAGGAAUUGUGUGACUCAGUUCCUUAGGAUGUGUUUGGUUUGAGAACGAAGUGGAACGGAAUGUCAUGGUUCCAUUCCACUAGCACGGGUCGGUUCCGUUUUUGUGUUUGGUAUGAGCAAUUCUGAAGAAUGGAACGGUUACAUGUUGGUGUUUGGUUCAAGAGAUGCAAUGGAAUGGAAUUGUUCAUCUCACUUGAUUAGAUUGACUCACACUGAAUCAGAUUUUGAUAGAAAAACUAAUGAAUGUAGUGAACACUUUGAUUAUAUCGAUUAAGAGGUACAUAUAGACGCUGCAAUACAGGUACACAAGAUCAAAGAACAAGAAUAUAUUCUAAUCAGAGAGCAGAAAAGAUCAUAUCACGCACCACACACACCAACGUACAGAAAAGAUCAGAUCAGUCACCACUCCUAAAAACAACUCCCUGUCGACAGCGAUAGUCUGCACCAUGGCGGUCGAGUUCGCGAGGCUGCACUUCAAGCGCCUUCAGAAAUAACAAAUUUGUGAAGAGGCAAAGGAAGGAGGAGCCGCCGCCAGCAGGUGAGGCCGGGAGGCCGCCGCCGGCAAGCCACGAGCCACUGCUCCACUCCUUCUUAGCCGCUGCCCGCAGCAAGCAGUUAUAGUCGCUCAGAUGUGUCCGCGACGGGACGGCCGCUCCUCGUUCUUUGCCUGGAUGUGUGCGCGACGGGAUGGCCAGCUGUGAGGAAGAAAGACGAGCGGGAGGAGAGGCGACGGGGAGAUGAGGGGCAGCCGGCGCUGGGUCGGGGGAGUGGGCGGCGCUGAGAUUUGGAGGGUGCGUGCGAGUUGGGGAGGAGGAAGGGACGCAGGUUCCGCUCGUUCCACGUGGUCCGCUCGAAUCGGAGGUAUGGAUUGGUUCCGCAUAUACAAGGAAUAUUCGUUCGGUGGGAACGGGCUGAUUCCAUUCCAGCGAUGUACCAAACGCCGGAACGAGGCCGAGGUACGGGUCCAACCCAUGCCAUUCCACUUGAUGAUUGAAACCAAACGCCGGAACGAGAUCUUCACUGAUCAAGCUACACAAAUGCAAUAGGUGAUAAACUUUUUUAUUUAUGUAUUUCAUGUCACCAAGAGAAAGCAAUAAAAUAUGUCAUGCAAUGGAUUAUCACUGGAUUUUUGUUAUCUAUAGCAGCGUUACGAAGCUCGGGUGCAUCUGCACCCGCAUGUAUAGUAAAUUCAAAACAAAAACCAAAUAGAUUAGUCUGAAGUUUAUACACAUGAAGAUGAGAGGCUUUUUCUGGGUGUUUGCAAAUUUUGGCGUUGAGAUGACAUCUGUGGAACUCGGUAAAAAAAUAAAAAAUCAAAGCUCCAUAAAUGCCGAAAGCUGCAAAAAAAAUCGAGCUCCAAUUUUGCUUUUUCUUUGUAGUGAGAUUCCCGUGUGUCAUGUCAGCAUGAAAAUUUGCACGCACCUAAAAGAGUCUUAUCUUUGGUGUGUAAAAAUUUCAUUUAAAAAAAAUUGUUUAGUAUUUUACUUGUAUUUACUGUUCAUUCAUGAGCAUUUGAGCUCGGGGUCAAAAAUGUAUUCCCAUCACCUCUUAGUGUGAUCUCUGCCAUUUAAUAUUACGGGAACACAAAAUAGUGUUAUGGUUAAGUUUAAACAAAAGAAAUGAGUGAAUAGUGCACAUACAACUAAAGUUGCUUGCCUGCUUUUCGCAGGGUGGACUUACAAUUGUAGUUGCGUCAGUGUGCGGACGAUGGACAUGCCACUAUAGUUGUAUGCGGCUACCUGACAUGCAACUGUCUUACUGUCAUCUCGCACGGCCAUCGGGCGUACAUAGUUGCAUUUGGCGUGGAGAAAGGCAAAAAUCAAAACACACAAAAAAUUAGAAAACAUAACAUCAAUGAAACAAACACUACAAAAAAAGCAUAUACAAAGAAGGACUCAAAAGAGAAAACCCACAUAGAUCUCCAUGUAAGAUCUAGCAGAUAUAAUAUCAAUCGAGAUUUGAUUAAGUCUAAGUCAAUUGAGAUUUAGCAAAACCGUAUAGCUUGUUGUGAAAAAAUAGCGCACUUCCCCGCGAAGUACGCCGGUGUCGAGAUCACCCUCCUCCGCCCCGAAGAAACCGACAAUCGCGCCACCACCCGCUACGAUCACCUAGUCGAGCUCGAGGCCAAGAACUACCCCCUCGAGCUUUGGCACCCGCAGGGAGCGAACUUUGUGUUCGGCCACUUUGGGGUGCUUUCCUGCGUCGACAACAACUGCCUCAACGCCGGGGACUUCAUGGUGAUGCGGGCCUUCCUCCGCGUGGAAGGAGACCACGUCACGCCGGAGGGAUGCAUCCUCCGUCUUCCGCCCGCUCAAGUCGUCGACGUCAAGCUCCGGGUUGUCAAAACCUGGGCGAUCUUCGACGACCAACCGGUCCCCCUCGAUGACGACGGUGACGACGCCCUCCCUAGCCAGGCGCAUGUCCACGGCGCCUGGCGCUGGAACUGCGGUCACUUCGGCCCCUACACCGGUCCUCAUGGUGUCGAUGCCAUGCCACCUUCAUCGCCGCGCGAACCUUCUCCACCACCCCCCGCUGCCCAACCUCUACACGCUCGAGUCAACCUCCUCCAGCCUCUAGUCGGUGAGCCACUGCUGCACCCUGCUGUGGUGCACGACGACGAGACCGGCCUUGACGACCACCUGGCCGGAGACGCUGAAGAGUCCUUCUCACCUGCUGUGGAGGUGUCCAACUCUUUCUCCUCGUUGGCCCUUGAUGAGGGGGAAUGCUCUCAACUCUCUGGUAACCUCCUAGACGUGCCCAUCCCCCCCCCUCGUCCUCCCGCCCAAUCUUACCUACUUGCUCUCCUUGUUCAGGCACGGCUUCUGCUGCGCUCAACUCAGAUGAGCAUGAGGCCACCGUCCGCCGCAUCCAGGGCGCUGGCAAGCGGGCUACCGAUGCUGCCAAGCUUCGUAGGAGCCGUCGCCUCGCAGAGAAGGAGGAGGGCCAGUUCGUAGACAUGACCACCCAGGCCAUGCGCGCGAAGGCUCGUCGUUUUGACCUGCAGCACGCGACGGCCGAGCUCGUCGCGGCCCUCGACCAGUCCGGCCUUACCAGCACUCCGGACGAGCCGGUGCACGAUGUUGCAUCCCUAGCCCAGAUCGCGCUCAUCUGCGGUGCUGAGCAGCAGGAGAUCGAUGAGGUGUCCUCCCCGGCGCCGUGAUCAACGCUGCUCUGCCCUGGACUCCGGUUCCUCGCCAAAACCGCUUAGUCCUCAAUUGUUAUGGCCGUAUCUGCCCAUUAGGCAAUGUUUUAAUUCCUAGCUUUCCCUUUCCUGCACUUCUCACUUGAUCCCAUAGAUGCAUGGGCAAGCUGAUUCUCGAUCCUUUUGUAACGUAUGAUCGCAACCUGGACUUUUGGUGCCUACCUUUAGCUCAAUGAAUGGCCUCAAGUUUAAUUUUUGCUGUUGGAAUGUUCGUGGCCUUGGCCAAAGUCAGAAAUGCUCGGACGUCCUAUCUGAGCUUAUCGCCAUUAACCCACAUGCGUGUUUCCUUCAGGAAACCAAACUCAACUCUAUCACUACCUCCCUUCAGAAAAAAUUCCUCCCAAAGCACCUCGAUCUCACCCACACCUUGCCGGCCACCGGCUCGGCCGGAGGCAUUCUCUCGGCCUUCUCUUCCUCCCAGUUUACUCUCCUCACUUCGAACACCGGCAAUUUCUCCCAAACUUCUACGAUCUCCUGCCUUGCCUCCCCCCAAAAGCUCGCCGUCACAAUCGUGUACGCUCCCACUGACCAUGCCCUCAAGCAGGAUUUUCUGUCUGAGCUGGCCUCCUUCGUCCCACCCUCACACACCCCCUGGCUUAUCUUGGGCGACUUCAAUCUCCUACGGCGCCCCUCGGACAAAAACACGAAUAACUUCAGGCAAUCUGAAGCGGACAUGUUCAACGCCUUUAUCCACCUUCAUGGGCUAAUAGAGCUCCCUCUCCUGGACCGCUGCUAUACUUGGUCGAGCAAGAGGGAUCAGCCCACCCUUGAAAAAUUAGACCGAGUUUUCAUUAAUGUUGACUGGGACCUCCUCUUCCCAAACACCACAAUUGCAUCACUAACCUGAUAUAUUUCCGAUCAUGUUCCCCUUCUUAUCACGAUAGACACCAUCAUCCCUCGCCCCGCUCUUUUUCGAUUUGAAAAUCGUUGGGCCGUUCGACCAACCUGCCUUACCAUUGUCCAAACAGCCUGGGCUGAGGCCCGUAUACGUUCCAACCACGCCUUGAGCCUUGCCGCCGCUCUCAAACGUACGCGGUCCGAUCUUAAAAGGUGGAGGCGCUCUGCUAUUCCACUGAACACUCGUGAAAAGAAUUGCAGAAUAGUUAUAUCUGUUCUCGAUAUCAUUGAAGAAUCUCGCUUUCUAUCACCCCUCGAGCUUGCUCUUCGCCGGGUCAUCAUCAAAGUUCUACAACGCACCAUCCGUGAGAAAGCAUUGUACUGGAUCCAACGUGGGAAAGUCCAAACUGCGCUAGAAGGAGAUGAAAACUCCCGUUUCUUCCAUGCCUCAGCCUCUGCCCGCCUUCGCAAAAAUAAGAUCACGGUCCUGGAGGCCAAUGGCUCCGAGUUCUUUUCCCAUGAUGCUAAAUCAAAAAUCCUCUCAGACUUCUAUACCUCCCUUCUCGGCACUGCCUUUCAACCCACUUGGUCCUUCUCCCUCCUAGAUUUAUAUCCGUCACCUAUUCCCCAACUUCGAUCUCUCGAUGCCCCAUUCACGGAUGACGAGAUUUCAAAGGCUUUCUUGUCCAUGAAUAAAAAUGCUAGCCCUGGCCCGGACGGUUUUGGCCCUGGGUUCUACAGAAAUUUUUGGCAUAUUCUCAAAAAAAAUCUGCAAUUUCUUCGCUGAUUUCCAUGCCCUGCGUUCGGACCUAUCUUGCCUCAACCGCGCCCUCAUUAUUCUUCUCCCGAAGAAUAAUGACGCCAGGUCCCCAAAUGACUUUCGCCCCAUCUCCCUUCAAAUUUCCCUAUCAAAGGUGUUGCUAAACUCCUUACCAACAGACUGAAAGCGCAUAUCCCUCUUCUGGUCCACGCCGACCAAACUGGCUUCCUGUCUGGUCGCAAUAUCUCUGAAAACUUCCUCGGCUCCGCUGACAUUCUUCAUUGCUGCGCCAAGAAAAAGGCUCCAGCCAUUGUCGUCAAGCUGGACUUUUGGAAAGCGUUCGACUCAAUCUGUUGGUCCUCCCUCCACCACACCCUGCAGGUUAGGGGCUUCCCACCUCGCUGGUGUGCCUGGAUCCGAUCUCUGCUUACCACUCGAUCCACCGCUGUUAUGCUUAAUGGCAUCCCAGGUAAGUGGAUCCAAUGCAAGAACGGACUCCGUCAAGGUGACCCCUAUCUCCUUAUCUGUUCAUUAUUACGGCCGAUAUUCUACAUCAAAUGAUCAUUAACGCUCAUAAGGAUGGUACACUUUUACACCCCUUGUGUCCCCACCUCCCGUGCCCUGUUCUGUAAUAUGCGGACGACACUCUUAUCAUAGUUAAAGCCACCACGACUGCUGCCAAGCACCUCAAACACAUUCUAGACACCUUUGCCGCAGCCACUGGUCUUCAAAUCAACUUCACCAAAACGACUUUCAUCCCCCUUAACGUGGAUCCGCAUGAGGCCGCUCUUAUGGCCUCUGACCUUGGAACGACCAUCUCUUCCUUUCCUCAAACCUACCUAGGUCUACCCCUCUCCCCGCAUAAGCUGCCGCCCUCUGCCUUUCAGCCGGUCAUCGACCAAUGCAACACCUAUCUGGCUGGCUGGUGUGCCCUACUCCUCUCGCGUGGAGGCAAAUUAGUUCUCCUCUCUGCCGUCCUAGACAGUCUCCCCACGUAUUUUAUGCUCUGUUUUUCUCUGCCCGUCCAGGUUAUUGAAGCAAUAGAUAAAUGUAGACGCUCCUUCUUCUGGUCCAAAGAUGAUACCUGCUCGGGGGCUAAAUGCUUGGUGGCUUGGGAUAAAGUGUGCACUCCUAGAGAUGCAGGUGGUUUGGGUGUUAAAAACCUUCGCGCGCAAAAUUUUUGUUUACUGCUGAAAUUUGCCUACAAAUUUUUACACUCCUCCUCCCUCCCUUGGAAGGAUUGGGUUUUGCAUCACUCACCGCUCCACAUUGGCUUUGGCAAGAACAACUCCUUUCUUGCCAAGACUAUUUUCAAACACCUACAGAGCUUGAGAGAGAUUUCCCAGUGCACUGUUGGAGACGGUUGCUUCACCUUCUUCUGGUUAGACCGAUGGCUAAAGCCAGAACCUCUGGCUAUAGUCUACCCAGCCCUAUUUUCCCACCAUAUAAAACAAAAUGCCUUGGUAGUUACAAUUAUGCAGGAGGGGAUCGAACUUGCUCUUCGUAAUUGGCUAACCACUACUGCGAUUGCAGAACUUGCCUCUCUAAACUCUUUGUUGCAGGAUUGGGCUCUCUCACAGGUUCCGGACAUUCGUCGCCUGCUCAACGGGCCCGCCUUCUCGGCCCGGGGUGCGUAUGCUGCUCUCUCGGGUCAUCUCUCCGACCCCACGCUCGCUGCCAUUUGGGACUCAAAAGUGCCCAAAAAGGUUAUAAUCUUCGGAUGGCUCUUCUACCUCGACCGUCUCAACACCCGAAAGAACUUGCAUAAAAAAAGCAUUCUGGAUACAUAAGCUUGUCCAAGAUGUUCUCACCAGGUUGAAGAUCGCGAGCACCUGUUCUUUACAUGCUCGUCUACUCGGGGCAUUUGGCAGGAUGCUUCCAUUCGCCCGUGCUAUACGCCCAUCAGUGACCUCUUCUCUACGAGGGCGCCAACAGCUUUGCCAACUUCAGUCUGCUCCUUCAUGAUCCUAAUCAUCCUAUGGAAGAUAUGGGACACACGGAACAAAAAAGUCUUUCAGGGAAUAGACCUUCAUACUGCUGAUUCCAUUAGGGCUAUUAUUGAUGAUAUAACUAUAUGGGCUCCUCGGCUCAAAACCGAGAGCCUAAAGGAACACACCGGGCGGUGGUGUGACUUCCUCUCCUCACAAAACUUGUGAGUCCUGUACUCUUCUGCUAUGUUUGAAAUUUAUUCAGGUGGGGAGCCUUUCCCCCCCGGUGACCAUUUCAAAAAAAAAAAUAGCCAGAAAAUAUGCAAACAUUAAUUUCAAUUGGCUUGUGCCUUGUAAGUGACAUGGGUAUAAUUGAUUUACCCAUAGUGGAAACUCUUUUGUGUGAUUUCACAAAAAGAGCUAUUUUUCUAAGAAAUAAUGCAGCCAAACACAACACGAAAAUCGAAACAUGGAACGGAAAGAAUGGGCUUCUAGUAGGCAUCAUCUAUACAUAAACAAUGAGAUUGGAAUUAAAUGAAAUACAAAACAAAGUAUCAAAGAAUUGAACGUCCCCGGUCUACUAUCACCUGCUUGGCUGCUUCCUUUUUGUUGCCACACCAACAACUUCUUGAAUAUUGAAAUGAAAAUAUGGAAAUCAAACUUAGAAGUGCGACAAUGAAAAAAAUGUGGAGCGAGUAGAGAGACCGAGGUGGGGGUCAAAAGGUUGAGGGACAGAGAAGACCAAGAAGGUAAAGUGCAGGGGUGGAGAUGAGGAGGAAAGGAGAAAAAUGUGGAAAGAACCCCACUUGAUAAUCCAUGGAAGGAGAGGAGUCUGUGGUGGUUGAUGCUCAAGCCAAACCACGGCCAUGGCCUACGCUCCAUUGGCCUCCGUCAUUUCCCACCAUGCGACAUCUGACUAUAGCUAGGAUUUGUCCCUACGAGCUCUAGUGGAUGAGGCGAGGCGGAGGAUGAGAGGAGGAGGAGGGGUAGGAGGGGGAGGGAGGCAGUGAGUAGCUAGUGGGAAGUCAUGGGUUGUCCAGUCAGAGGGCAAGGUUGAGAGAGGACAUUUUUCCAUUUUUUCGCGUAGUGCGCCUCAUAUCCCGCCAUGCAAGAGCAAGUGUAUCCUUCUCCCUGCUUGCAACAAGUGGCUAAGGGGAUUCAUCGGCUUUGGCAUGAGUGAGGCGGGGAUCCAAUAGAAACACAAGAGACAUGCGAGAAGGAGAGACUGAAUUCAACGAGAUCAUUCCAGAUAGUACGAGUCACAUAGAGAAUGGAAAAAAAUAUACAACACACACAAAGCAAGGAACCACUAUGGGCGACCUACCAGAACAAAAACCAAACCGCUGAAGGCCAUCACUGUAACCAAAAGGCAAAGAAGCUGCAACGAAGUAAAACGAAGAAGACCAUGAAUCAUAUAUACCUAAGAGUGUAAUCCAGACUGUCCCUAUUUAUCUCAACAUGCAGCCUACCCACCUCAGCAAGCUUGCCACAUCAACAAGUAUUUUUUUUUGCAAGUGAACUUUGUAUUACUUAAGUGCGAUCAAUGCCAUGGUCUGCAUUACAAAGCUCAAUAACUUCUGGCAUGCCAGAGUUAAGCCAAACGACAGUUCUACUCUUAGUUCUAGCAAACUUAGCCAAAAAAUCACUAACACUAUUCUGACUACGAUGAACAAGACUAAAAGUAGUCAUACGAAGGCUCCUCAGAUGCUUGAUUUCCUUCACCGGUGAAGAGAAGACUGUUCUAUCAGUUGACUCAUCAAUGAUCAUGCUCACAACUUUUCGAGAAUCCAUCUCCACAUGAAUAGGAAACUCCGUUCUCUAAAUGGCAAGUGAAAGCCCUUCCAUACAUGCACUGAGCUCCACUUCCAAAGCGUUUCUGCAGGAAAAAAAGCUCCUUGAAUGAAGCCACAUCAACAAGUCUUAACGUGCGACAACUCAUGGUUUUUGUUGUAAUAUGAAACAGACCAUGCACAAUCCCUCUCUCUAUUUCAUGGGACAAAUCAUCCCCUUAAUUACUCCCAUCAAUUGAUUUGCGCCGCUCUCUUCGUAUUCUUUACCAAUGUCCUUCCUUUUCAUCUCCCCAAUUAUUUGAAGCCAAUGGAUCUUUGUUUCCUCGUUCAUCUUCUCCCCAAUGGAUUGCUUCAUUCCCGUCACCUACAACGAAGUUGGGUAUCUACAUCCCAUUAAAAGAUUUGUUAGGUUUCACCCUGGAAGCAAUUGCUCGAGGCAAAGAAGUUGAAAUCCUCAUUGUAUCCGCCCAUCACCUGCUGGUAACCUUGGUUUUACCACAAGCGUGGAGAGAAUUUGAAGGAUGCGUCAAAAUCAACCUCCCCAUGCAUCAUGUCGACAUCGCCCAUGCUCACCUGAUGAAGGUCUCUUCCCGUAUCACAUUCCCCUCAUUACACCAAUGCCUCCCCCAGGUCUUGAUUCCCAUCCCUCAUUGACGUGGCCUUCUUCUUUAGUUCGAUGUAUUUGAGGUAUGGAUUUCGUUAUAGUCUUGUGUUUGGAUUUUGCGCCGGGCUACACAAACGGAGUUGAUUACUGAUUGCCAUGCAGCAGACGCCAUGUAUGCAUGCAAAAUGAUCGAGAGGCCGGAAUAAAAGCUCCCCAAACUCCGCCACUCCCGGGUGAUGUUGCUACCUACGGCCUCCCAAGCUCGGGUUGGUGGUGCUAAUUGAACCGGUCAUCAUUCAUGAUGUUGCUUUUUUGUUGAACCAUAGACCAGUCGAAGGCGUUGGGGAUCAUGGUGGGUGCAAGGUGACAUGGUGCCUGCAAGUUUGAUGCGCUCAGUUGUCGAUAUUGUGUCCUGUAUGCCACAUCUUCACUAUAAAAAACCACUUCUUUCUCACUCAUCGCAUCAGUAACAAAACCCCGAUACUUCGGCGACCCCAAGGAAUUUGCCUGUGAUCAGGUAGCUAUCCCCUUAAUCCAUGAUUAUAAAUCUCCUAAUUAACCUCUCCAUGUCGUAGGUUUCACAUCUCACGUGGUCUCACUCUAUUCCCGCAAGUGCUACUGGGCAUGACGAAUAAUCUCCCAAUUAACCUUGUCAUGUUGUCGGUUUUACUUCCCACAUGGUCCGACUAUAUUAAAAUUCAAUCCAGAUACGUUUCAACCAUCUUAAGCUGUCUACAACGCGGGGGUUGAGCCCACGCGCUGGGAUAGAAUCCCUGAUCGUUACGCCGACUUCCGGUUUGAUCCUGGGAUUUCGUUUCGCGUUGAUGCCUACACAACCGCCAGGUGCUACAGGGAGUUCCUUGUGUUAUCAGGAGAGGAAGAAGCAAAACAAAGCGUCUGUCAGAUGUCAUUUAGCAUUGGAGACGAAGGCGCUAACAAAGUCAUUAAAGCAUCAAGUUAAUUUUUUAAGCGCCUAUGUAGGUGCUUUGCAUCGGAUAUGGUCUUACUAUAUUAAGUUGUAUGUGAUUCUGAUGUAGGGUAGAACCCUAAUCGCCCGAUCUUUCACGAAAGGAGCGGAUCCCGCGAAGAACAUGAGGAACACGAGGGGAAAACGAGGGAAACACAAGGGGAAAUACAAGAGAAUCACUCAACCAACAAGAACAAGUUACACAUGCGCUAGAUCCUCAAAUACAUAAAGUAAGAUACACGAUCCACAAUCAACUAAGGACGAUACAAAGGUAGCCGGUUCUUCUCCGUGAGGAGGUCUUGUAUCCAUGAGGGGAUCUUCUCCGCGAGGAGGUCUUGAAUCCAAGUGGAUCUUCUCCGAAGAGGGGUCGCGGUCUCUCUCGUGGAGUAGAUCCGGAUGGAUGAGCGAAGCUCUAUCUGUAAGUAUGAGCUAAACCAACGCUAACCCUCAAAUGGUGGAGGUGGAGGUGUAUAUAUAGUAUAGGGCCACGAAGGGGUAAGUGAGGGCGAAUGGAUACAUGGGCUCGGCCCGAUAAACUGUGCACAGACAGGCGUCGGACGUCCGAUGGGUACCGGACGUCCGGUGGCUCACGAGGGUCUGGUCGUCCGGUACUUGUCGGACGUCCGGUGUUUUGGCUCGGUUGACGUGGCGCCGGAUUUCUGGAGACGGUUAGACAUCCGGUCACUGGAGUGUGUCGAACGUCCGGGACUUGUCGGACGUCCGCUCGUUUGGCUCGGGUGCGGGAUUGUCGGUCGUCUGGUCCGGGCCGGUCGUCCGGUGGGUCUUCAGGUGUCGGACGUCCGGUCCCGACCGGUCGUCCAGUGGCUGGAGCUUCUUCCGUAGCUCUUCUUCUCAUUCCUCGCGCUUGGUGUCCUCGCCUUCUUGUCCAUGGUCUUCCUCUUGGUUCUUGGUCAUGCAUAGCACACAUGUUUGAGGUAGUAGCCAUGUCUCACGUAUGGAAAGUGAUGGUUCGAAGAGGAGUGAGUUCACCUUGUGUCCAAUGGUGUAUAGAUGAGGUCUCGUCUUAUGUUCUCUUAGGGCUUCGAGAGUAGUCGGAGUGUACAUGGGGAUGAACGUGGGAUGCUCCGCAUCAUCUCCCCUCCCCUUGGGAAAGAUCCGACCUCGGAUUGUGAUCCUCAUCACCAUGGAAACGGUAGUCGUGGACAGACUUGUUGUUGGACGGAGUGGAAGACGUUGCACAAUCCAAGUACUCCAAGGUGUCACCGGAGUGGUAUACAUGCAAAAAGAGCAAACACAAACGACACUCGAAAAUACAAUGGUUAGAGCACACAAAGUGUCCAUCAUGUAAGAAUGAGUCCAUGCAACAAGAUUGAUCAUGACAAGGUGCAUGAAGCUUAUCCAAAAGAUAUGGAAAUGUAUGCACAACAUUCAUGGUAGCAAAAUCAUUCAUUGUGCACACAAAUGUAUUGUGGAUGUGAUCAAUGCAACCACGGUGCAAAAUGAUGUCAUAGUGAGACGGUUUAUCAAUAGCAUGAAUAUGGUAAUGGAUGCUCAAUGUGAUGUGAUCAUGUAAUUGAUGGUAGGCAAUAAGAUCAUGAUGUAUGAAUAUGCCAUCAAGGUAUAUCACAACAAUUUUGCUAAUGAAAUGCACAAGCUCAUAUAUCAUGGAUGACAUGGGAAUACAAGAUGCAACAAGGCAAUCAUGAUGUGAGUCAAUCCAUGCAUAAGAUGCAAAUUUGUCAUGUGUAUGAUAUGUCCAUCGAGCAUGACAUGUGUGAACACAAUCAACAAAUAUGGAGGUGUUGGUAUACCAAUGCUCGAUGUCGUGGCAUGAGUGGAGGUUCGAAGGUGCAUCCAAUAAAUCCGAGCGAUCCUCAACUUGAAGGUCCAUGGGUUCCAUCUCCAAUGUCGGUCCUCCAUCCAAUAGAUGUAACAUGUAGACAAGAAAAAGGAAACAACAAUGAAAGAGUGACCCAUCCAAUAUGCAUAUUUGAGGAUGGCUCAAAGGGAAGGAGUUCACCUUUAGGAGAUUCUCACAAAUGUUGGUGUUGCACAUCGUGUAUGCCUUCACAUGACCAAAUUAUGUCAUGACGGUAUCGCCUUGUGAAUCCUUCAACAUGAAAGAACAUGACAAACACUCGGAAAAACAAAUGAGGUUAGCGGAAAACCUAUCAUUCAUGCGGUAAAAUACCCAACAAGUGGAUGCAUCAUGCUCAUCAUGUAACAUCCCAAAUUUUCAAUUUGGAAUGUUAUACAUAGAUCAUCAUGCAUAUCAUAUUUUCUUGCAUUUUGGUCGAUCCUAGAAAUUUCACGCAACUCAAGGACCCUCGGAGAGAGUUGGAGAUUUUGUUAUUUUCAUAUUUGAGUUUUCUCAAAUUUUGAAAAGAGGAUCAUUUGAUUUAUUUAUUUUAUCUUCAAUUAUUUUUCCGGUGUCAAAAUAUAUGAGAGAGGGAAUAUUAUGACUUUCCCAAAUUUAGGAAAACUGAAGAUUUAAUAAAUAGAUCAAUUUUGGCUUUGCCGGAGUUUUUUGUUUGCUUUUUAUUUGGAUAGGGAAAAUGCACGUUUUUGAAAAUUGCAUUUUAGGCCCGGAGUAAAGUUCAUUUUGUUCGACUCAUUUUUAGGAGUCGGGGAAAAUUUAUUUUAGGAAUUUUGGAGUUCGUUUAGAUUUUCUUUCUUUUGUUUUUCUGCGCGCGUGCGCCAGCGCCAGGCGCCAGGCGCCAGGCCGCCGCCUCGCCUCUAGCCGAGUCCCUCUAGGACUCUAGGCUAGCCCUCUUUCCUUGUUUCUUUUUCUUUUGCUUGCCCCCUACCCCAAGUAAAUCCCCCCCUCACCUAUAUAAAUACCCCAUAACCCCCCCUCUCCUCACAUCAAAACCCCAGGCCCCCUCUCCUCCUAAGCCGCAGCAAGUAGCAGCGCGCAGCCCUAAGCCGCCGCCUUAGCCGCGCCGCCCCACGCCUAAGCCGCCGCCGCCGCAUUACAUCGCCGCCGCCGCCGCCCUACGUCGCCGCCGCCGCCGCCCUACGUCGUCGCCGCCGCCGCCUUAUGCCGCCGUUCGCCGGAGCCCCUCGCCAAGGUUGCCCCGUGUCGCGUCUCUUUUUCUUCCCUCGGUUCGGUUUUUCUUCUAAACCGUUCCGGUUCUUUUCUAAACCGUUCCGGUUUUCUUUCUGGUUUUUCGUUUCGGUUUUCUUCCGAAACCCUAGAUCGGUUUUCCGUUUCUUUUUGGUUUCUUUUCCGAAAACCCUAGAUUGGUUUUUGUUCUUUCGUCGGACCGUUCGUCUCAACGAACGUGAUCACCGAUUAUUCCUGGUUAAUGAGGCCCGUUCGUUUAACCAUUCAUUGUUUUCUUUCUCGUCGGAUUUAUUCCGCGAUCGCGAUCUUAGAUCCGAUCUUCGUUCUAGUCUUUCUUCUCGCUCGUUUAUCGGAAUCAGGUGAUUCAAGCGCCUGGAGUUUCGUUUCGAAACCGCCGUUCCGUCUAAUCAACUUGAACAAGCUUUUGCUACAGUAAAAUUUGACCUAGUUUCAACUUGCUAGAACCGAGUUGUUUUCUUCCGUCGUUUGUUUUCUGUUUCUUUGUUCGGUUCGUUCUUUCUUUGCAACCGGAGUUCUUAAGUUGAACUUUCUGGUUCGUUCUCUUGUUCGAGUUUUACCUGUGCAUUAGAUGAGUACUUAUUGUGUGCUUGUUGUUUGUCUGUGAUAGAUCACCCGGAUUGCGCCGCUUGUUACUUCGAAACCCUAGGACUCGCGGAUCAUCAGCAAGGCAAGUAACACUUUGAUCAUACCUUUUCUACAACCCAUGUUUUAUUGCAUUAGAUCAAUCUUCUCACAUUGCAUGAUUAGGAUCUAAUUAAACUGUGGGAUGGGAAGUAGAUAAGGUAGUACCUAUCACCUGUAUUAUUAUGAAACCUUUGGGAGUUACUUCUACGUUUGCUUAUUAUGCCAUGCUAUGCUAGUAGACGUGGAUUGGGUGAGUGAUAUCCAUGACAGAUGUGAGUUGAUAAUUUUAAUGGUUUAUCUAAGGUGGUCACUUAAACACACAUCUGGGUGGAUUGAGGCACCUGAUGUCUAUCAGGACUUGCCUGUUUUAUUUUGGACCGCCACCCAGGCUCAAAGGGAUCAUAAGAUAAUUCAUGCUAGAAACUUCCGUGUGCAGCCACAUGCUACUAUGGGCUCUGGCAUAGUUGACUAAGUUGUGCAAACUCUUACGGGGUGGACUAGCAGAUGUAGGGGUUGUAGGUGGUACGGUCUACCCCACAUGUAAGGUGCUAGCGCUUCUGAAAGACUAUGUCUCGGUCAUCCGUUUCUCAAACACCAUGUAGUGCGAGAAGACAAACGGAGGCGAUCGAGUCAUGUGGGGAAAAGUGCGCAAACCUCUGCAGAGUGUACAAACUAAUCAUGAUUAGCCAUGUCCCCGGAUAUGGACAACUUGAGUAUCUAGUACUUGAAUAUCAUGUGAAUCUCAUCAUGUUACUUCUAAUUAAUGUUGUUGGGUUUUAAUUGUUCACUUAAUUGGGAUCGGAAUGCUGUCAACCAUUCUCGAUGUUUAACAACUACCAUGAUAGUUAAAUAAAUUUAUUCCUUUGCAGUAGGAAAAAAUUGGCUUUACGCAAAAUUGUAACCAUAGAGCUUUCCACCAGCCAUAUAUGCAUAUAGUAUAGCUGUUUCAUUCCAUUACUCUCUAUGUGUUACAUUGCCAGCAUAUUCCAUGUGCUGACCCGUUUUCGGGCUGCAACUUUCAUGUUGCAGACUUUUCAGACGACGAGUAAGGUGCUUUUAGGUCGUGGUUCUAUACUCAGUGAUGCCGUUGGAGUUGAUGGACCCAUUUAUCUUCCGAGUCUUCCGCUGUUAUCGUUAUUAGAUGGCCUUAAGCCAUAUUUAUUGUAAUAAGUUCUCUUUGAGAACGAUGUAAUAAGUGUGUGAUUGUCACUCUGCUAUAAAUCCUUCGAUGUACUGUGUGGUGUCAGCAUUACUGAUCCAGGGAUGACACCUAAGCACAGAGCACUUGAUCCAUUCGGGUCGGGUCACUACAGAGAUGGUAUCAGAGCACACGCUGACUGUAGGACACGACCACUAAGUUAAAGCCAUAGAUUACCAUUCUCUUCUCAUUUUCGAACUCCUCAUCUUUUCUACUCUUUUAGGAUGACGAACGCGAAGAUUAAGUACGCUCAACCGGAUGAAGGCACACCUUUUGGAUUUCACCUGAAGGAAGUCACCAAGUACCUGAACAUUGGAUUACCAAGCUUCACGGGAACCUUCAACGCCACUCUUCCUGAAGAGGAGCGCUGGAAGAUUCAAGCUCACGUUCCGGGAAGGACAUUCACGCCACUCACGAAGCCCAUAGAUAGUGUUUUCAAUGCACCAACCUGGAGUCUGGGAAGGAGCAUGGAAGCUCAUAUCAUUAUGGGACACAUUGGAGAAGUUUACCAAGAAGACCUCAAGGACACUAUCUACUAGAUUUGCGGACGCCGAGACGAACAAUGGGAGUUAGUCAGCACCAAGAAGGAUAGAUCCAUUGCAUCUUUCAUCCAGGUGUUAAACCAGCACGUUCGACGCCACGAGAACCAGAUGUGCAAUGAUAUGAUAGAGUUGAAGAAUGCGAAGGCAAGGAUCAUCGAGCUAGAAGGAGAACUGAAGUCUACACGCAAGGACUACAUGGACGAGAUCGUAGCUCUAGCAAGACACAAUGGCGAUCUUAAGAAGGAGAUUGAAGAACUCAAGGUGAAGUUAGCAUCCAGGAAGGAAGACAUGUACGUCACAUGUCCGGACAAUUACAUCAUCAUCGACGACACCGAUUCGGAUCCAAGUGAACCCGACUUUGAAGACGAAGCCGGACAGAUAUCAUGGAGUCUUCCACCGGUUCAAAUUUCUAGAUGACCACCAAUAGUAGUAGCAUUCCCCCCUGUAAACAUUAUAGUCGAGCACUUUUGCGAUAGUUUUAGACCGAUUGUAAGCCCUUGUUUGAUUGAAUGAAGUGAUUUUGUGUGCAUUUGCUCAUGUGCAUUGGGGUAGUGUUUUCCCUUUAGACCUCACUAUAUUCUUAAUUCUCGUCUUUUCUAAACCCUCAGAUGCCUCCGAGACGUGACAAUGGAUUUCCACUGGAGCUCACUCAGUUGAUCCAGCAGCAGAAUCAAUUGAUGCAGAUGUUAGUCCAGAACCAGCAGAACAACAACAACAACCCACCACCACCACCACCACCUGUUGACCACUUAGCCCGUUUCCUUAGGCUGAAUCCGCCGGUGUUUUCCAGUAGCACCGAGCCGAUAGUAGCAGACGAUUGGCUCCGCAAGAUAGGAAGGGAGUUGACCACUACAGGAUGCACGAAUGGUGAGAAAGUAAAGUUUGCCGCUCACCAGCUUGACGGACCCGCGGCAGCAUGGUGGGAGAAUUUCACAGCCACUUACCAGUUGACACUGUCACAUGGGAUCAGUUUCAGCAAGCUUUCCGCACUGCCCAUGUUUCAGCAGGAGCUAUGGCCAUGAAGAAGCGUGAGUUUUGCAACUUACGCCAAGGAGGAAGGACAGUUGGCCAGUACAUUGACGAUUUCAGCAAGUUAGCACGUUAUGCCCCGGAUGACGUUGCUACGGAUGCAGUUAAGCAGGAGAAGUUUCUGGAAGGACUGAAUGAUGAACUAAGCAUGAAAUUGAUGGUAGCAAGUUUCAAGAACUACCAGGAGUUGGUAGAUCGUGCCAUCAUGAUUGAAGGAAAGCAACAGUAGAUUGAAAACCGUAAGAGGAAGUAUGGACAGGGGAAGUAUAACUCUGGAGCCCAGCAGAAGCCCCGUUUUGCCCCUAAAUCGGGAUUUCAGUUUCAGCACACCCAUGGAGGAGGUAGCUCGCACAACCAUAAUGGCCACAAGAAUGGUAAUGGGAAUGGAGGAAGCAACGGCCAGAACCGCACCACCCCAUCGACCCCAACCAAGAGAGACCUGAGUCAAGUCAUCUGUUUCAAGUGUUCCAAGACCGGACAUUAUGCCAAUGAAUGUCCCGAAGGCCAGAAUGGAAAUGGCAAUGGAAGCUCUGGGAAGAAGCCGAACCCUUUCAAUAGGGGACAGGUGAACCACAUUAAUGUGGAGGAGGUUGAAGAUCAGCCUGAUGCAGUAAUCGGUAAGUUUCUGGUUAAGUCAUUUACUGCACUUGUUCUUUUUGACACUGGUGCAACGCAUUCAUACAUAUCAAGGGGAUUUGUGGAUAAAUAUAACCUACCAACCCAAGCCCUUAGGUCACCCAUGUUAGUAAGCUCACCAGGAGCGGAGUUUAUGGCUAGACGAUGGUGUGAUCGGUUACCAUUAAGGAUUGGUAACUAUAUUUUUCCCUCAGACCUAAUAGUAUUGGAAUCUCAAGGAUUGGAUGUGAUAUUAGGCAUGGAUUGGUUAUCAAAGUAUGAAGGGAAUAUUGAGUGUGCUAGUAAGUCAAUUUUGCUUACCACACCAGAAGGGAGAAGGAUCAAGUAUGUAUCCCGGCAUGUGCCAAACAGGACACAAGUAAAUUGCCUAACAGGAGUCGUGCAGGAGGAAGUACCAGUGGUAAAGGGUUUCCCUGAUGUAUUUCUUGAGGAAUUACCAGGCAUGCCACCGGAUAGAGACAUUGAGUUUUUGAUUGAGUUAUUGCCAGGUACAUGCCCAAUAUCGAAGCGACCAUACCGGAUGCCAGCAAAGGAUUUGGUGGAAAUUAAGAAUCAGAUUAAGGAGUUAUUGGAUAAAGGUUACAUUCGCCCAAGUUAUUCGCCUUGGGGAUCACCUGUACUUCUAGAAAAGAAGGAUGGAUCAUUAAGGAUGGUUGUAGAUUAUCGGGGAUUGAAUGAAGUAACCAUCAAGAACAAGUACCCACUGCCAAUGAUCAACGAUCUAUUUGAUCGGUUGCAAGGAGCUAAAGUGUUUUCCAAGAUCAAUUUGCGAUCAGGGUACCAUCAAUUGAAGAUUCGAGAGCAGGACAUACCUAAGACAGCAUUCACCACAAGAUAUGGACUGUAUGAGUAUACCGUUAUGUCAUUUGGGUUGACUAACGCACCUGCCUAUUUUAUGAACAUGAUGAACAAAGUGUUUAUGGAGUUUUUGGAUAAGUUCGUCGUAGUGUUCAUUGAUGACAUCCUGGUUUAUUCAAAGAAUGAAGAGGAGCAUAAGGAACAUUUGCGUUUAGUUUUGGAGAAACUAAGGGAACAUCAGUUAUACGCCAAAUUCAGCAAAUGUGAGUUUUGGUUGAAGGAAGUUGGAUUCCUCGGACACGUUAUAUCCGGAGAAGGUAUAGCAGUUGACCCCACAAAGGUUGAGACCGUAACCAAAUGGGAAUCACCAACGACAGUUGGAGAGAUCCGGAGUUUUCUUGGACUCGCAGGAUACUAUCGAAGAUUUAUUGAGAAUUUCUCAAAGAUUGCGAAGCCUAUGACGGAGUUGUUGAAGAAGGAUACUAAGUUCAAAUGGACUGAGGAGUGUGAGGCUAGUUUCCAGGAGUUGAAGAAACGUUUGGUUACCUCACCAGUAUUGAUUUUGCCAGAUCAGACCAAGGAUUAUGAGGUGUAUUGCGACGCUUCACGUCGAGGACUUGGAGCAGUGCUUAUGCAGGAAGGAAGAGUUGUUUCGUAUGCUUCACGGCAACUGAAGCCUCAUGAGUUGAAUUAUGCCACGCAUGAUUUGGAGUUAGCAGCCGUAGUGCAUGCAUUAAAAACGUGGAGACAUUUCCUCAUUGGAAAUCAUUGUGAGGUGUACACGGAUCACAAGAGCUUGAAGUACAUUUUCGCGCAGAAGGAGUUGAACCUCAGACAGAGGAGAUGGUUGGAGCUCAUCAAGGAUUAUGAUAUGAGAUUGCAUUACCAUCCCGGAAAAGCUAAUGUAGUAGCUGACGCAUUGAGCCGUAAGAGCCAUGUCAAUACUCUAAUGACGGGAAAAUACCAAAGGAGUUAGCAGAAAACCUUCGUGAGCUAUGUUUGGAAAUAGUUCCGAGAGGCUAUGUAGCAGCAUUGGAGAUUCAGUCAACAUUGAUGGAUAAAAUCAGAGAAGCUCAGAAAUCUGACAAGGAGAUUGCUUCUAUAAAAGAGAAAUUGAGCGAAGGAAAAGCAAAGGGAUUUCGUGAGGAUGAGCACGAUACCCUAUGGUUUGAGGACCGUGUUUAUGUGCCAAAUGACCCGGAGAUCAGGAGGUUGAUUUUGCAAGAGGCACAUGAUUCACCAUAUUCGAUUCACCCAGGGAAUACCAAGAUGUAUUUGGAUUUGAAGGGAACAUUCUGGUGGACCGGAAUGAAGAAGGAUAUUGCAGCAUAUGUAGCAGUUUGUGACGUAUGUCAGAGAGUGAAGGCAGAGCAUCAGAAGCCAGCAGGAUUGUUACAACCAUUGCCGAUACCCGAGUGGAAGUGGGAUAAGAUAGGCAUGGAUUUUAUCACAGGACUACCCAGGACGAAAGCAGGCUAUGACUCGAUAUGAGUAGUAGUUGAUCGUUUGACAAAGGUAGCACAUUUUAUUCCAGUUAAGACCACUUACACCAGUGCUAAGUUGGCGAAGAUAUACAUGACUAGGAUCAUUUGUUUGCAUGGAGUUCCGAGAAGUAUCGUAUCAGAUAGAGGAACCCAGUUUACCUCAAAGUUUUGGAAUCAGUUGCAUGAAACUUUGGGAACCAGACUAGAGUUCAGCACAGCUUUUCACCCACAGACAGAUGGACAGACCGAGAGAGUCAAUCAGAUUUUGGAAGAUAUGCUGAGAGCUUGUGCACUAGAUUAUGGAUCAAGUUGGGAUUGCCGUAUGCGGAGUUUUCUUAUAACAACAGUUACCAAACCAGUUUGAAGAUGGCACCUUUCGAAGCUUUAUACGGAAGGAGGUGCAGAACACCGUUGUCAUGGGACGAAGUUGGAGACCGUCAGUUCUUUGGACCAGAUUUGAUUAAGGAGUCUGAACGGAAAGUUAAGUUGAUUCGCGAUAGGCUCAAGGUAGCCCAGUCCAGGCAGAAGAGCUACGCAGAUUCUAAACGCAAGGAGACAGUCUACGAAACCGGAGACAGAGUUUAUCUCCGAGUAUCCCCACUUCGAGGAGUUAAGCGCUUUGGAGUUAAGGGAAAGUUAGCACCGCGUUUCGUUGGACCAUAUAAGAUUUUGCAACGCAUGUGAGAAGUCGCUUAUAAAUUGGAAUUACCAGAGGGACUGUCAGGAGUUCAUGAUGUAUUCCAUGUUUCCCAGCUGACGAAAUGUCACGCCGAGAUGGCGGAGGUACCGCUAAGAGAUACCGUGCCACUCGAAGCGAUUCAAUUGAAGGACGACUUAACGUAUGAGGAGAAGCCAGUCAAGAUUCUCGAUUAUGCCAGCAGAGUUACUCGCAGCAAGGUUAUCAAGUUUUGCAAAGUUCAGUGGAACCACCAUUCAGAGGAUGAAGCCACCUGGGAGAGAGAAGAAGAUUUGCUCAAGGACCACCCUCACCUAUUUUCUAGCCAACCUGAAUCUCGAGGGCGAGAUUCAUCUUAAGGGGGGUAGGUUUGUAACAUCCCAAAUUUUCAAUUUGGAAUGUUAUACAUAGAUCAUCAUGCAUAUCAUAUUUUCUUGCAUUUUGGUCGAUCCUAGAAAUUUCACGCAACUCAAGGACCCUCGGAGAGAGUUGGAGAUUUCGUUAUUUUCAUAUUUGAGUUUUCUCAAAUUUUGAAAAGAGGAUCAUUUGAUUUAUUUGUUUUAUCUUCAAUUAUUUUUCCGGUGUCAAAAUAUAUGACAGAGGGAAUAAUAUGACUUUCCCAAAUUUAGGAAAAAUGAAGAUUUAAUAAAUAGAUCAAUUUUGGUUUUGCCGGAGUUUUUUGUUUGCUUUUUAUUUGGAUAGGGGAAAAUGCGCGUUUUCGAAAAUUGCAUUUUAGGCCCGGAGUAAAGUUCAUUUUGUUCGACUCAUUUUUAGGAGUCGAGGAAAAUUUAUUUUAGGAAUUUUGGAGUUCGUUUAGAUUUUCUUUCUUUUGUUUUUCUGCGCGCGUGCGCCAGCGCCAGGCGCCAGGCGCCAGGCCGCCGCCUCGCCUCUAGUCGAGUCCCUCUAGGACUCUAGGCUAGCCCUCUUUCCUUGUUUCUUUUUCUUUUGCUUGCCCCCUACCCCAAGUAAAUCCCCCCCUCACCUAUAUAAAUACCCCAUAACCCCCCCCCCUCUCCUCACAUCAAAACCCCAGGCCCCCUCUCCUCCUAAGCCGCAGCAAGCAGCAGCGCGCAGCCCUAAGCCGCCGCCUUAGCCGCGCCGCCCCGCGCCUAAGCCGCCGCCGCCGCAUUACAUCGCUGCCGCCGCCGCCCUACGUCGUCGCCGCCGCCGCCUUACGCCGCCGUUCGCCGGAGCCCCUCGCCAAGGUUGCCCCGUGUCGCUUCUCUUUUUCUUCCCUCGGUUCGGUUUUUCUUCUAAACCGUUCCGGUUCUUUUCUAAACCGUUCCGGUUUUCUUUCCGGUUUUUCGUUUCGGUUUUCUUCCGAAACCCUAGAUCGGUUUUCCGUUUCUUUUUGGUUUCUUUUCCGAAAACCCUAGAUUGGUUUUCGUUCUUUCGUCGGACCGUUCAUCUCAACGAACGUGAUCACCGAUUAUUCCCGGUUAACGACGCCCGUUCGUUUAACCAUUCAUUGUUUUCUUUCUCGUCGGAUUUAUUCCGCGAUCGCGAUCUUAGAUCCGAUCUUCGUUCUAGUCUUUCUUCUCGCUCGUUUAUCGGAAUCAGGUGAUUCAAGCGCCUGGAGUUUCGUUUCGAAACCGCCGUUCCGUCUAAUCAACUUGAACAAGCUUUUGCUACAGUAAAAUUUGACCUAGUUUCAACUUGCUAGAACCGAGUUGUUUUCUUCCGUCGUUUGUUUUCUGUUUCUUUGUUCGGUUCGUUCUUUCUUUGCAACCGGAGUUCUUAAGUUGAACUUUCUGGUUCGUUCUCUUGUUCGAGUUUUACCUGUGCAUUAGAUGAGUACUUAUUGUGUGCUUGUUGUUUGUCUGUGAUAGAUCACCCGGAUUGCGCCGCUUGUUACUUCGAAACCCUAGGACUCGCGGAUCAUCAGCAAGGCAAGUAACACUUUGAUCAUACCUUUUCUACAACCCAUGUUUUAUUGCAUUAGAUCAAUCUUCUCACAUUGCAUGAUUAGGAUCUAAUUAAACUGUGGGAUGGGAAGUAGAUAAGGUAGUACCUAUCACCUGUAUUAUUAUGAAACCUUUGGGAGUUACUUCUACGUUUGCUUAUUAUGCCAUGCUAUGCUAGUAGACGUGGAUUGGGUGAGUGAUAUCCAUGACAGAUGUGAGUUGAUAAUUUUAAUGGUUUAUCUAAGGUGGUCACUUAAACACACAUCUGGGUGGAUUGAGGCACCUGAUGUCUAUCAGGACUUGCCUGUUUUAUUUUGGACCGCCACCCAGGCUCAAAGGGAUCAUAAGAUAAUUCAUGCUAGAAACUUCCGUGUGCAGCCACAUGCUACUAUGGGCUCUGGCAUAGUUGACUAAGUUGUGCGAACUCUUACGGGGUGGACUAGCAGAUGUAGGGGUUGUAGGUGGUACGGUCUACCCCACAUGUAAGGUGCUAGCGCUUCUGAAAGACUAUGUCUCGGUCAUCCGUUUCUCAAACACCAUGUAGUGCGAGAAGACAAACGGAGGCGAUCGAGUCAUGUGGGGAAAAGUGCACAAACCUCUGCAGAGUGUACAAACUAAUCAUGAUUAGCCGUGUCCCCGGUUAUGGACAACUUGAGUAUCUAGUACUUGAAUAUCAUGUGAAUCUCAUCAUGUUACUUCUAAUUAAUGUUGUUGGGUUUUAAUUGUUCACUUAAUUGGGAUCGGAAUGCUGUCAACCAUUCUCGAUGUUUAACAACUACCAUGAUAGUUAAAUAAAUUUAUUCCUUUGCAGUAGGGAAAAAUUGGCUUUACGCAAAACUGUAACCAUAGAGCUUUCCACCAGCCAUAUAUGCAUAUAGUAUAGCUGUUUCAUUCCAUUACUCUCUAUGUGUUACAUUGCCAGCAUAUUCCAUGUGCUGACCCGUUUUCGGGCUGCAAAUUUCAUGUUGCAGACUUUUCAGACAACGAGUAAGGUGCUUUUAGGUCGUGGUUCUAUACUCAGUGAUGUCGUUGGAGUUGAUGGACCCAUUUAUCUUCCGAGUCUUCCGUUGUUAUCGUUAUUAGAUGGCCUUAAGCCAUAUUUAUUGUAAUAAGUUCUCUUUGAGACAACGAUGUAAUAAGUGUGUGAUUGCCACUCUGCUAUAAAUCCUUCGAUGUACUGUGUGGUGUCAGCAUUACUGAUCCAGGGAUGACACCUGAGCAGAGAGCACUUGAUCCAUUCGGGUCGGGUCGCUACACAUCAUAAGAAAGGACAAGGGAGCAUUUCAUAGUACAGAGGCAUAUGAUGUGAGAACAACCAAAUAGAAUAGGUGCAAGCAAGCAAGCAUGCAUCACAAGAUGUAUCAUGUGAGAGGCAUGAACAUAUACGUCAUCAACCCAAGAAAGCAAGUAAUAAUGGAACAUGGGUGAUGCGACAAAGCAAGCAAUCAUAUGAAUCAAGGCAAGCAAGCUAGUAGUGCGAAGAUGCAACGUACUAGAAGGAAUCAUGUUAAGUAUGUCAUGUGUGCAAAUGGUAGUCAUGAAUAAUGCACAAGACACAUCACAAGUAUGAAUGCACGAUAUGAGCAAAAUAGUAUCAAUAGCAAGAGGCACAUGAUAAACAUGGCAAUAGCAACAAGGAUCUCCACCAAGCAUGCAAAUACACGUAGAAGUAGCAUAAUGGUGAAUCAUGGGUAGAUGCAAGCAAGGGUCACAAUUGCAUGGCAAAGGCAUAUAAGCAAGCAUAGCAUGCAAAGUGAACACGGUAAAAUGAGCAAGAAGCGAGAAGUGGUAUAUAGCCCAUAGCCGUGUGAGAGCCAAGUGAAAGAGAUGCGCAUAGUCGUUGCGCGAAGAGAGUGGUGCAAAGGAUAGUUCACGGGAUCCCAAGUCAUCUUUGCUCUCAAGAGCUCGUUUCGUCAACUCUUGGGAUUGAGAGGUUGACGAGUAUACGUGAGUACCUACACAAAACAAAGACAAAAGGCAAAAUUGUGUGUGCGUGGUAGAUGUACACAUCAUCCAUCAUGAUGCACACAUGCAAGUGUUUGUUAGCACAAAAUAGCCAAUGCUCGAAUAAAUGAGAUGCGUGAUAUAGAAACAUGUCAUCCAUCAUGAUAGGUUUGUUGUUAUGUAUAGCAUAAUGGAGACUCAAAGGAUGUAAUGCAUCAUGGGAAAUAUGUAGAGCAUUGUUGUUAAUGGAAUGCAUAUGGUGCAAGCAAUUAUGGGAAUCAUGCAAUGUAUGGAAUGCAUCAAAAUCUCCUAAUACGCAUGAGGAAACUAUGGGGGUCUCCUCAUGAUCAUUAGUGGAAACAUCACACAGAGAAUAUUGACAACAUCCAAAACAAAGCAUAUGCGGAACAUUGUGAUCAUGGCAUGGCAUAGUAGAUGAAUUGCGCAAAUCAUGUAAAGGAAGCAUGGCAAUAUCAUCACAAGAAAAACAAAAUCCAAUGACCAUCAUCUCGUCAUCUAUGCCGUAAGUGCGAAUGGGAUUUAUGUGAAUGGGGCAUGCAUAGUCACUAUGUUGAGAUUGAAAUGAUGCAAUAUGAGAUAUCUCACUCAUAGCAUAUGACAAAGGUUAAUGGAUUGUCAAACAUGAUGUGACCAAUAGAAUUUUCACAUGAUACCCUAUGGAGCAUAGCAUCACAACUAGGCAAAUCAACAUGCUCAUCAUCAUAUUUGUCAUAAAUAGGUAAGUCAUGACAUGAAGAAGUCGCACUAGCAUGAAGCAUGGGUAUAGGUAUGUCAACAUCAUGCAAGCAAUCAUUCGUAAAAUAUUCCACUAGUGGGACAAGAGAAGCACCAUCACCUAUGUUACCUUUGGAGCAUCGCUCAUGUGUUGUAGGUGAGGUGUCGAAGACCAAGGCGUGGUCAUCUUCAUCGUAAUGGAACCAUGUGGGUGGUGCAUCUUCUUUCACCAUGGCCAUCGUUGUCUCCAUUGGAGGCAUGGACUCGUCGAGGAUAGGCGUGUCGUCAUGUAGGAGACCUAGCACCAAAGAAGAAAACGCACCAGGAGUAGAGGUUAAGUCCUUAGAAGUCAAAGUGGCCUCACAUGCCGUGUCAACUACCUCACUCACUAAGUGUUGUGGCUCACUCACUCCCUCUCGGAUGCUCUCACUCAUAUGGUUGGUGGAGUCACACAAAUGGCUCUCAACCUCACAUAGGAUGUGUGGCAUGCUCUCAAGUGUGGGUCUAGUGGUGGUCACACUCAUCCUCUCAUAGGAAAUGCUCUCAAUGUCACAUGUGGUGGAGUCACUCAUGUCACUCAUGCUGUGGUGGCUCUCCUCACAUGGCAAUUGGGGCAUCUCGUCACAUGUCGUUGUCGGAGAGAUGUUGGUGCAAAUGUCUCCAUGCUCAAGCAUGUCGUGGUCGUAGCCAUGGAUGAAGGCCAAAGAUGGCACAUCAUCACUCUCCUCGAAGACCAAAGAUAAGGUCUCAUGUGCGGUCUCGUAGCUUGACUCGGAGUAUGAGCCCAAUAUGGGCGCUGUCUUCAUGUUGUUGAAGAGGUUCAUGCUCAUCGCCGUGGUCGAAGGGGAUGGCCCUUGCUCGACCUUCUUGUCGCCGUCUUGUUGUUGGAGGCCCAAAUGAUGUGGCACCUCGUAGCUCGUCUCCAUGACCGAAGGACAUUUACCAUGCCCGACCAUCUUCCUUGGGGGGCUUCCGAAGAUGGAAGUGUCACCCUCGCUCGUAGGUGGUCGCCUUGGACUUGAUGAAGUCGUUAUAGGCGUACUUGUGGGAAGUAGGCGAAGAUGCCGUACGUCCAAAGGCGAAGAUGCCUUGAUAGCACUUGGCAAAGAUGCCGAAGUGGUUGGUGUAGCCAUAGCUCCGUCUUGGUGGUGCUCGUCUCGCGGUCUUCUCUUGUGCUCAUGAAGUUUGGACUUGGCGUGAAGUAGGGCUUGUUGGGACUUGUAGGAAGGCGCUUGUGGAGCAUCAUCAUGAUGAUGGUGUCGUUGUCGUGCUUGAGCUCGUAGUAGAUGUCGUUCGUCGUCGUCGUGCACAUGUUGCUUGGAGGUGAAUUGCCCUUCAUGACGAGGUGGAUCACGAACGUGAUGGUGGUCGCCAUGGAGAUGUGGACGUGGACGUCUUGCGCUUGUGUCGCUUGGGCGCUCCGAAGAGGAUCGAUGUGCUUGCCGCUGCCUUGAAGAUGACGAAGGGGAAGUAGACUUGAUCAAGGCCCGAAUCUCCUCCAUCCUUGCAUCUUGCUCCUCCUUUUGUGCGGAAAGCUUGUUGUCGAUGUAGUCCCUUUUCCUCGCUUCGGAGUGACGAAUGUCGAUGGAGAGGUUCUCGAUGCGCUCUCGCAAUCUUGAUUGUGCGCCUUGCAUUUGUCGUUGUAGAUCGAAGAUUGACGCUUUGGUGAUGUAGUUGUUCACUCCGUCGUUGUUGUGGAAGACCAGAGAUGAAAUGCCUUGCCUAUCCAUCACAAGAUUCGAGCCAAUAUGAGUGGAGAAAGAGAAGAACGAAUACCCAAUGUACCUUCACCGAAGUUGAAAGUGGAUCAAUGAUCACUCCAAUGUGGAUAAGGAAAUAGCAGAAUUGGUACUAAUUCUUGUCGGUUUCUCACACCUACACAAGUAAGGCUUAUGGUGGAGCUCGGUGAGGAUAGUGGCACAAAAAUUUAAUGCAAAAUGUUAGCAAGAGUCAAUAAUGUUGAAAGAGAUUCACAAAUUCGCAAGUGUAACAAGUAGACCAAUAGCAAUAUGUGGCACACGGAAACACACAGACGGAUAGAUAAAUGGGGUCGUGCAACCAAGGAUGAGCACAAAAUGUGGAAUCCACGGAAAACGCUCGUGUUGCAUAACUCAAGAGAGACGCUAGCACGAUUGCUCUAUCGGCGGAUACGACACUUGUGCACAACCUAUGAUAUGCAAAAUGGAUAAACUUUCUAUCCCAAGUAUGCUAUGUAUGUAUGGUUCCCGGUGUUUGAUCCAAGAUGAUCGGAUAUGACAAUCUUAUGCAAUGUGGUGGAUGCUAUGGCUAUUGCUUACAAGCUUCUUUGCUCUUUCUCUAUUGCCACGAUACCGAGAUGAUACGGAGGUUACCUCCGUGGCGAUGAUGAGUGGCGGUGAUCUUGAUGGAGAUACCAAGAUGAUGGAGACUCGUCCCUAAGUAGCCGAAACACCUUAGGAAACGAAAAAAACCGUGAACUCAAAAAUCUCAAAUGUCAAAAUGGUGGUAGCGGGAUGCGGUGGUGGUUGCGGAAGAUCAACGGGAUUGCGGAAAGGCAAUGAUGAGUUAUGGAGUACGCAAUGCGGAUAUGGAGUGUAAGGUGGUGGACUAUACACGGUGUCGGAGUUGGAAGCACGGUCCCUAAGUAGCCGAAACACCUUAGGAGACACAACUCACAACACAAACAAAAUUGGGUUAAGUUAGGGUGGCAGAAGUGUAUAGUGGUCAAGCCUAUGCGGAAGUGGUGGCGGUGGUUGAUGAAGAAGCAACCGUCCCUAAGUAGCCUAGACACCUUAGGAGACUCGAAUCACUCCUCAAGCAACCACUAAUACGACGGGGAACAAAAUUGGUUAGGUUGCGGAAGUCGGUGGUGGUGUAUCGGAUGAUGUGGUGGAAGUCCUAGGCAAAGAUGUCAAAAUUGUCAAAAUUUGAUGUAGCCAAAAGAUGUUGGUGGUAUUUUUGUGAGAAGGAGGAUGUCAAGAGCUUUUUAACGAGCUAAAGAACGUCAAAAUCGGACUCCGGAUGAAUUAGUUAUGGCCGAAACAAAAUUUGAGCGACGUUGAUAUCUACAGGUAGCGGACGUCCGGAAAAAAAGGUCGUCCGGUCACCGGACGUCCGGUCGGGUCGGAAAUCCGCUGAUUCUGCUCGGGUUAGGGGGUUCCGGUCGUCCGGUAAGGUCGGACGUCCGGUGGUUCCUGCGGCUCCGGACGUUCGGUAAAGGGCCGGUCGUCCGGUGUAUCGGGGUUAACUCCAGAUCCGAGAUUCGGGACGUGAUUUUGGGCGGAAUUUGGGGAUUUGGGGGUCAAAAUUGAUGAGAUUUCAUGGAUGAAAGAUGGGGAAACUUGGGGAGAUGCUAGAUCCACUUGAAACCAAGCAAAUCCAUAGAUCAAAAUCAACAAAACAUCAUCAAACCAACAAAUCACAAAAAAAAUGGGACUAUUUUUGGUGGGGAUUUUUGAAUUUAGGAUGAAAUCAAGCAAAAGAUGGCUAGAAAACAGUGGGGGAGGCUCCAAAAUCGUGAUCAACCUUGCUCUAGAUACCAAGAUGAUGUAGGGUAGAACCCUAAUCGCCCGAUCUUUCACGAAAGGAGCGGAUCCCGCGAAGAACACGAGGAACACGAGGGGAAAACGAGGGAAACACAAGGAGAAAUACAAGAGGAUCACUCAACCAACAAGAACAAGUUACACAUGCGCUAGAUCCUCGAAUACAUAAAGUAAGAUACACGAUCCACAAUCAACUAAGGACGAUACAAAGGUAGUCGGUUCUUCUCCGUGAGGAGGUCUUGUAUCCACGAGGGGAUCUUCUCCGCGAGGAGGUCUUGAAUCCAAGUGGAUCUUCUCCGAAGAGGGGUCGCGGUCUCUCUCGUGGAGUAGAUCUGGAUGGAUGAGCGAAGCUCUAUCUCUAAGUAUGAGCUAAACCAACGCUAACCCUCAAAUGAUGGAGGUGGAGGAGUAUAUAUAGUCUAGGGCCACGAAGGGGUAAGUGAGAGCGAAGGGAUACAUGGGCUCGGCCCGAUACACUAUGCACAGACAGGCGUCGGACAUCCGACGGGUACCGGAAGUCCGGUGGCUCACGAGGGUCCGGUCGUCCGGUACUUGUCGGACGUCCGGCGUUUUGGCUCGAUUGACGUGGCGGCGGAUUUCCGGAGACGGUCGGACGUCCGGUCGUUGGAGUGUGUUAAACGUCCGGGACUUGUCGGACGUCCGCUCGUUUGGCUCGGAUGCGGGAUUGCCGGUCGUCCGGUGGGUCUUCAGGCGUCGGACGUCCGGUCUCGAUCGGUCGUCCGGUGGCUGGAGCUUCUUCCGUAGCUCUUCUUCUCGUUCCUCGCGCUUGGUGUCCUCGCCUUCUUGUCCAUGGUCUUCCUCUUGGUUCCUGGUCAUGCAUAACACACAUGUUUAGGUAGUAGCCAUGUCUCACGUAUGAAAAGUGAUGGUUCGAAGAGGAGCGAGUUCACCUUGUGUCCAAUGGUGUAUAGAUGAGGUCUCGUCUUAUGUUCUCUUAGGGCUUGGAGAGUAGUCGGAGUGUACAUGGGGAUGAACGUGGGAUGCUCCGCAUCAGAUCCCUUCAUGGCUUCAUUCGACCCCCCNNNNNNNNNNNNNNNNNNNNNNNNNNNNNNNNNNNNNNNNNNNNNNNNNNNNNNNNNNNNNNNNNNNNNNNNNNNNNNNNNNNNNNNNNNNNNNNNNNNNNNNNNNNNNNNNNNNNNNNNNNNNNNNNNNNNNNNNNNNNNNNNNNNNNNNNNNNNNNNNNNNNNNNNNNNNNNNNNNNNNNNNNNNNNNNNNNNNNNNNNNNNNNNNNNNNNNNNNNNNNNNNNNNNNNNNNNNNNNNNNNNNNNNNNNNNNNNNNNNNNNNNNNNNNNNNNNNNNNNNNNNNNNNNNNNNNNNNNNNNNNNNNNNNNNNNNNNNNNNNNNNNNNNNNNNNNNNNNNNNNNNACAAGACAUGAGAUGGACCAAAUAUAUCAGUAUAUUACAUCUAUCCAACCAAAAUGUACUUCCUUUGUUUCAAAUUAUGAGCUGUUCUAUUUUUUUUCUGAAUCAGAUCUAUAUAGACACGUCUUAGUGUGUUUGUUCACUCAUUUCCAUCCAUAUGUAGUCCAUAUUAAAAUAUCCAUAACGUCUUAUAAGUCGAAGGAACCGAGGUGAUACUAAUAAUUUAUUUAAUCUAAUUCGUCCCAGCCAAACAUAUGAGUAGAACCAAGGUCCCCAUGGUCCCCAUCUCCCCCAUUUGCCGGGCACACCUCUUAUUCCCGUCUCCAACUUGAGACAAACACCCACUUAUCAAACCCGGUGCCACGUCAUCGAUCCGGAAGCGGCGGGGUUGGGCGCGUCAGCCAUGGUUGAAGGGCGGGAGGAUUUUAGGGAGAAGUGGUGGGAAUGAAGAUGGUGUGCCAUAGUCUGACGAGCCUGGGGAGGACGUCGCGGGCGUCCGCUGCAUCUCCGCGAGGAACACAAACUCAACACAAUUUUGGGCCGAAAAUGAGUCAAAGUGAACGAGAAAGCAGGCAUUUGUCCGUUUUCGUCGGCGCGUUGGGCCAUGUUUUUUUGUGUGUGUGGACCCAAACAAAUCCGUGCGAACGAAAUGGGUCGGCGUGUUCAAGUUGACCGAAGUUUCUGGCUUGUCAAAGUUUCCUCCUUGUUUCUCCCUUUGUAAAUAAUGAAUGAUUUUUUCUCAUCUGAUAUCAUGGACUGCCUUUUUAUAGUUUCUUCUACCUGUUCUGUUAGAGAUAAUUUAGAGCAUUGAUGAAAAAGAAAAGGCGAACCGAUGGAGAUUAGGAAACGAUGUGAAUUAUUUGUAUGAUAUCAUAUUGUAUUUGUUAUACUCAUGAGCGCACUUAUAAUUUUUUGUUCCUGCAAAUACAAUUGACACGUCAUUUAGAAUUCUAAUAACAUACUAUGAAAACUAAAAAAAAUCACAAUUGUUCUUAUUGUUUAUGUGCAUAUGAGGUAAUCUCACCACUUCUACAUAAGACGAGAGAUGGAUCAAAUCCAUUCCAUUCUGUUUCUCCAGCUUGCAACCAGUGUAUUUUACCCAAUUUGCCUCAACCAAAGUAGGAGUACUAGUGAAACAGACUGUAAAAAUAAAAUAAAAAUCUGAGCGAAACAGAAGCAUGAAACAACCGCCCAAAUCCCACAAACGGCGCCACGUCAUCAAUCCCGGCCAGCACCCUCCCACCUCAUCCCACCCUUCUGAUCUCAAUCCAACGCCGCAUCUCCACCGUCUCGCGGAUCGACCAAGCAAAGCAUCUCCCUCCCGCCCCCAAAUCUCGCAGUUCCCUCCAAAAUCCUCCCCAUAUAAACCAACCCCCGCGCCCUCAAAUCCCCAAUCCCAUCGCAAGCAUCAGACUCCCUCCAAAGCAGCUCCUCUUCUUCCUCCCAAUCACACUCCCUCGGAGAGGAGCGGCCAUGUCCGGGCGCGGCAAGGGCGGCAAGGGGCUGGGAAAGGGCGGCACCAAGCGCCACCGGAAGGUCCUCCGCGACAACAUCCAGGGCAUCACCAAGCCGGCGAUCCGGAGGCUGGCCAGGAGGGGCGGCGUGAAGCGCAUCUCCGGCCUCAUCUACGAGGAGACCCGCGGCGUCCUCAAGAUCUUCCUCGAGAACGUCAUACGCGACGCCGUCACCUACACCGAGCACGCCCGCCGCAAGACCGUCACCGCCAUGGACGUCGUCUACGCGCUCAAGCGCCAGGGCCGCACCCUCUACGGCUUCGGAGGCUAGAUGCGUGGUGUGCUGUGCUGGUGGCGGCCGUGUUUCUCUGUGUGAUUGUGCCGUGGUGGAUGGGAUGUACUCCCUGUCGUGCGUUUGUGUUCAGUAGUCUGUAAUACCAUCAUGCGUUCAAUGAAACUGUUCUGAUCCUGAAUUCUGACCAAAUGCUUCAGUGACGAAAUCGUUUAUAUAAGACAUACUGAUUUGAUAUGUUCAUUUUCUUCUUCUUUAGAUUGUAUAGCUGUGCAGCUAGAAUUUCACACAGUUGCAAUCUGAUCAGUCUUUUGUCACGCAUUGCAAUCUGGACGAGUGCUUCCGCUCAGUUACCUACAGUACUACAGUUGCCACGUUUAAUUUGGGUUCAGUGGGAAUGAAUCCUGUUUCUUUUCUGCAGUAUUGUAAGGUAGUGCACAAGGAUCGGGGUUCAGGAUCUAAAGAUGCUGUAGUCCUGUAAAUAUUUCUGAAUCAAGCCAUGCGACACUUAUAAGUCUGUAGAAUGCAGAACAAAUAUCUGAUGCUCUGCAGUCUGCACUAAGCAUAGUUUUUCUUCCUAAUAAUCAUCUCAUUCCUCAGAGGAAUAUAUUGUAGAGAUUAUGUUCUUUUCCUAAUGACCUUGUGCCUGAUAAGGAUAAACAGGAUGAUUCUCUUUUCUCUUAUUGAGAAAUUGUAAGUCGCUGUCACUAAUUCUCUAGAGCAGGAAAUGCUUACCAGUGUAUGUUUUGCCAAAUUCCCAAUCAUCAGCCACAACAUUAAAAUUGGUCACUGAUCAUUCAUUCCUGCGGGGUCGCUUGAGGCCUGUUCAGCAACCGGCCCUCUGUGAUCUCAUUUGAUGUGCCAUAUCCAGCGCCACCACCAUUGCUGAUUAGAACCAUGAAGAAGCUCUUCCCAUACACUUGAGAUUGCGCACCGCCUUCAGGAAGGCACUUGACGCUGUUCAUAGGGAAACAUGACAAUUUCGGCCAACAAUCUUACAUCUGUUUACAUAUUCUUUCGACAGGCUAUUACAAAUCGAUUUAUUACCUGACCACGUGAAUUUUUGCUGCUCCGUGAAACAGUGGUUCAUUCUCUACAUCUAUUCUUUCUUUGGAAAUACAGCUAAUUGCUAAAGCUUUACAGUUGAUGAAGUUGAAGUCUAACAUAAUUUAGACCCAAAGCACAUCAGGGUGGAUAUUUCUGGCAUUUCCUUCCUGCCAAUUCCCCUCUAAAACAUAAAUCUCGAGGAUAGAAAGAGCACAACAACAAUACAUUUGUUAAACGAUUUAUUCAUGAAAGCAUCUACAAGAUACAUCUAUUUAAGUGUGCCAUGGCAGUACUUGCCAAUUUACUGAAUUUGAGUGGGAAGUAUUACAAAAUCCUAAUGUGUGCAUCUUGAAUACUAUCCUCUUUUCACCCUUUGUCAAAUUAUUUGUAGUUAUAGCUUUGCCUUAAGUCAAAUUUCUCAACAUUUGACCAAGUCUAUGGAACAGUUGUACUAGAACCAUGACAAUUAAUUUGGAUCAGAGGAAGUACUAAUAUCUACAACAUCAAAUAUACGUAGCACGCAAAUUUGAUAUAAGUUUUUAAUAAACUUGGUCAAAUUUGUCUUAGGACAGAGCUAGAACUUUAGAUAAUUUGGACACAUGGAGUAAUACUCAAUGGCCAAUGGUCAGCUAUUAAGUAAUUAAUAAAAUUCCCUUUUAACAGAAUUUUAGCAAUACAAAAUCACUAACAAAAUCACAAAGCACGCCAGCAAUCCCCACGCACUCCUAGGGGACGCCUUCUGGAAGGCCCAGGACACUCGGCCUAACAUGGCCAGGGUUUUCACUCGAGGAAUUGGGGAAGGAGAAGGGAUUUCGAAUGCCCCCUCAUAAGGGAGAACGGGGCAAGAACACCAUUGUCGAUGUUGACGUGAAAUCGACCAGGGGUUUCCCGUCUCUAGACUCCCAACACCACUGGAGGAAAUAUGCCCUAGAGGCAAUAAUAAAGUUAUUAUUUAUUUCCUUAUAUCAUGAUAAAUGUUUAUUAUUCAUGCUAGAAUUGUAUUAACCAGAAACAUAAUACAUGUGUGAAUACAUAGACAAACAUAGUGUCACUAGUAUGCCUCUACUUGACUAGCUCGUUGAUCGAAGAUGGUUAAGUUUCCUAGCCAUAGACAUGAGUUGUCAUUUGAUUAACGGGAUCACAUCAUUAGGAGAAUGAUGUGAUUGACUUGACCCAUUUCGUUAGCUUAGCACUUGAUUGUUUAGUUUGUUGCUAUUGCUUUCUUCAUGACUUAUACAUGUUCCUAUGACUAAGAUUAUGCAACUCCCGUUUACCGGAGGAACACUUUGUGUGCUACCAAACGUCAUAACGUAAUUGGGUGAUUAUAAAGGUGCUCUACAGGUGUCUCCGAAGGUACUUGUUGGGUUGGCGUAUUUUGAGAUUAGGAUUUGUCACUCCGAUUGUCGGAGAGGUAUCUCUGGGCCCUCUCGGUAAUGCACAUCACAUAAGCCUUGCAAGCAUUGCAACUAAUAAGUUAGCUGCGGGGUGAUGUAUUACGGAACGAGUAAAUAGACUUGCCGGUAACGAGAUUGAACUAGGUAUUAAGAUACCGACGAUCAAAUCUCGGGCAAGUAACAUACCGAUGACAAAGGAAACAACGUAUGUUGUUAUGCGGUCUGACCGAUAAAAGAUCUUCAUAGAAUAUGUAGGAGCCAAUAUGAGCAUCCAGGUUCCGCUAUUGGUUAUUGACCGGAGAAGUGUCUCGGUCAUGUCUACAUUGUUCUCGAACCUGUAGGGUUCGCAUGCUUAACGUUACGAUGACAGUUUCAUUAUGAGUUUAUAUAUUUUGAUGUACCGAAGGUUGUUCGGAGUCCUGAAUAUGAUCACGGACAUGACGAGGAGUCUCAAAAUGGUCGAGACAUAAAGAUCAAUAUAUUGGACGGCUAUAUUCGGACAUCAGAAGUGUUUCGGGUGAUUUCGGAGAAAACCGGAGUGCCGGAAGGGUUACCGGAACCCCCCGGGGAAGUAUUGGGCCUUAGUGGGCCUGAGGGGAGAGAGAGGGCAGCAUCCCUGGAGGUGGCGCCCCCCCUCCCAUAGGGAGUCCGAAUUGGACUAGGGGAGGGGGGCGCGGCCCCUCUUUCCCUCUUCCUCUCCCUCUCUUUCCUUCCCCCUUCUCUCUUCCUAGUUGGACUAGGAAAGGGGAGUCCUACUCCUACUAGGAGGAGGACUCCCCCCUCCUUGGCGCGCCCCAAGGGUCGGCCGACCUCUCCCCCUUGCUCCUUUAUAUACAGGGGCAGGGGGGCACCUCUAGACACACAAGUUGAUCUUCGUGAUCGUUCUCUUAGCCGUGUGCGGUGCCCUCCUCCACGAUAAUCCUUGAUAAUAUUGUAGCGGUGCUUAGGCGAAGCCCUGCAACGAUAGAACAUCAAGAUAGUCACCACGCCGUCGUGCUGACGGAACUCUUCCCCGACACUUUGCUGGAUCGGAGUCCGGGGAUCGUCAUCGAGCUGAACGUGUGCUAGAACUCGGAGGUGCCGUAGUUUCGGUGCUUGAUCGGUCGGGCCGUGAAGACGUACGACUACAUCAACCGCGUUGUGCUAACGCUUCCGCUUCCGGUCUACGAGGGUACGUAGACAACACUCUCCCCUCUCGUUGCUAUGCAUCACCAUGAUCUUGCGUGUGCGUAGGAUUUUUUUUGAAAUUACUACGUUACCCAAUAGUGGCAUCCGAGCCUAGGUUUUAUGCGUUGAUGUUGUGCACGAGUAGAACACAAGUGAGUUGUGGGCGAUAUAAGUCAUAAUGCUUACCAGCAUGUCAUACUUUGGUUCAGUGGUAUUAUUGGAUGAAGCGGCCUGGACCGACAUUACGCGUACGCUUACGCGAGACUGGUUCUAUCGACGUGCUUUGCACAUAGGUGGCUAGCGGGUGUCAGUUUCUCCAACUUUAGUUGAACCAAGUGUGGCUACGCCCGGUCCCUUCGAAGGUUAAAACAGCACCAACUUGACAAACUAUCGUUGUGGUUUUGAUGCGUAGGUAAGAACGGUUCUUGCUAAGCCUGUAGCAGCCACGUAAAACUUGCAACAACAAAGUAGAGGACGUCUAACUUGUUUUUGCAGGGCAUGUUGUGAUGUGAUAUGGUCAAGACAUGAUGCUAAAUUUUAUUGUAUGAGAUGAUCAUGUUUUGUAACCGAGUUAUCGGCAACUGGCAGGAGCCAUAUGGUUGGCGCUUUAUUGUAUGCAAUGCAAUCGCGCUGUAAUGCUUUACUUUAUCACUAAGCGGUAGCGAUAGUCGUGGAAGCAUAAGAUUGGCGAGACGACAACGAUGCUACGAUGGUGAUCAAGGUGUUGCGCCGGUGACGAUGGUGAUCAUGACGGUGCUUCGAAGAUGGAGAUCACAAGCACAAGAUGAUGAUGGCCAUAUCAUAUCACUUAUAUUGAUUGCAUGUGAUGUUUAUCUUUUAUGCAUCUUAUCUUACUUUGAUUGACGGUAGCAUUAUAAGAUGAUCCUUCACUAAAUUAUCAAAGUAUAAGUGUUCUCCCUAAGUAUGCACUGUUGCGAAAGUUCUUCGUGCUGAGACACCACGUGAUGAUCGGGUGUGAUAGGCUCUACGUUCAAAUACAACGGGUGCAAAACAGUUGCACACGCGGAAUACUCAAGUUUAACUUGACAAGCCUAGCAUAUAACAGAUAUGGCCUCGGAACACGGAGACCUAAAGGUCGAGCGUGAAUCAUAUAGUAGAUAUGAUCAACAUAUUGAUGUUCACCAUUGAUACUACUCCAUCUCACGUGAUGAUCAGACAUGGUUUAGUUGAUUUAGAUCACAUGAUCACUUAGAGGAUUAGAGGGAUAUCUUUCUAAGUGGGAGUUCUUAAGUAAUAUGAUUAAUUGAACUUAAAUUUAUCAUGAACUUAGUACCUGAUAGUAUCUUGCUUGUCUAUGUUUGAUUGUAGAUAGAUGGCUCGUGCUGUUGUUCCGUUGAAUUUUAAUGCGUUCCUUGAGAAAGCAAAGUUGAAAGAUGAUGGUAGCAAUUACACGGACUGGGUCCAUAACUUGAGGAUUAUCCUCAUUGCUGCAUAGAAGAAUUACGUCCUGGAAGCACCGCCAAGUGCCAAGCCUGCUGCAGGAGCAACACCAGAUGUUAUGAACGUCUGGCAGAGCAAAUCUGAUGACUACUCGAUAGUUCAGUGUGCCAUGCUUUACGGCUUAGAACCGGGUCUUCAACGACGUUUUGAACGUCAUGGAGCAUAUGAGAUGUUCCAGGAGUUGAAGUUAAUAUUUCAAGCAAAUGCCCGGAUUGAGAGAUAUGAAGUCUCCAAUAAGUUCUAUAGCUGCAAGAUGGAGGAGAAUAGUUCUGUCAGUGAACAUAUACUCAAAAUGUCUGGGUAUCAUAAUCACUUGACUCAACUGGGGGUUAAUCUUCCUGUUGAUAGUGUCAUUGACAGAGUUCUUCAAUCACUGCCACCAAGCUAUAAAAGCUUCAUGAUGAACUAUAAUAUGCAAGGGAUGAAUAAGACUAUUCCUGAGCUCUUCACAAUGCUAAAAGCCGCGGAGGUAGAAAUCAAGAAGGAGCAUCAAGUGUUGAUGGUCAAUAAGUCCAUCAGUUUCAAGAAAAAGGGCAAAGGGAAGAAGAAAGGGAACUUCAAGAAGAACAGCAAACAAGUUGCUGCUCAGGAGAAGAAACCCAAGUCUGGACCUAAGCCUGAGACUGAGUGCUUCUACUGCAAGCAGACUGGUCACUGGAAGCGGAACUGCCCCAAGUAUUUGAUGGAUAAGAAGGAUGGCAAAGUAAACAAAGGUAUAUGUGAUAUACAUGUUAUUGAUGUGUACCUUACUAAUGCUCGCAGUAGCACCUGGGUAUUUGAUACUGGUUCUGUUACUAACAUUUGCAACACGAAACAGGGGCUACGGAUCAAGCGAAGAUUGGCUAAGGACGAGGUGACGAUGCGUGUGGGAAAUGGUUCCAAAGUCAAUGUGAUCGCGGUCGACACGCUACCUCUACAUCUACCUUCGGGAUUAGAAUUAGACCUAAAUAAUUGUUAUUUGGUGCCAGCGUUGAGCAUGAACAUUAUAUCUGGAUCUUGUUUGAUGCGAGACAGUUAUUCAUUUAAAUCAGAGAAUAAUGGUUGUUCUAUUUAUAUGAGUAAUAUCUUUUAUGGUCAUGCACCGUUGAAGAGUGGUCUAUUUUUAAUGAAUCUCGAUAGUAGUGAUACACAUAUUCAUAAUGUUGAAAUCAAAAGAUGCAGAGUUGAUAAUGAUAGUGCAACUUAUUUGUGGCACUGCCGUUUAGGUCAUAUCGGUGUAAAACGCAUGAAGAAACUCCAUACUGAUGGACUUUUGGAACCACUUGAUUAUGAAUCACUUGGUACUUGCAAACCGUGCCUCAUGGGUAAUAUGACUAAAACACCAUUCUCCGGUACUAUGGAGAGAGCAACGGAUUUGUUGGAAAUCAUACAUACAGAUGUAUGUGGUCCAAUGAAUGUUGAGGCUCGUGGCGGAUAUCGUUAUUUUCUCACCUUCACAGAUGAUUUAAGCAGAUAUGGGUAUAUCUACUUAAUGAAACAUAAGUCUGAAACAUUUGAAAAGUUUAAAGAAUUUCAGAGUGAAGUUGAAAAUCAUCAUAACAAGAAAAUAAAGUUUCUACGAUCUAAUCGUGGAGGAGAAUAUUUGAGUUACAAGUUUGGUCUACAUUUAAAACAAUGCGAAAUACUUUCGCAACUCACGCCACCCGGAACACCACAGCGUAAUGGUGUGUCCGAACGUCGUAAUCGUACUUUAUUAGAUAUGGUGCAAUCUAUGAUGUCUCUUACUGAUUUACCUUUAUCAUUUUGGGGUUAUGCUUUAGAGACGGCUGCAUUCACGUUAAAUAGGACACCAUCGAAAUCCGUUGAGACGACGCCUUAUGAACUGUGGUUUGGCAAGAAACCAAAGUUGUCGUUUCUAAAAGUUUGGGGCUGCGAUGCUUAUGUGAAAAAGCUUCAAUCUGAUAAGCUCGAACCCAAAUUGGAGAAAUGUGUCUUCAUAGGAUACCCAAAGGAGACUGUUGGGUACACCUUCUAUCACAAAUCCGAAGGCAAGACUUUUGUUGCUAAAUUCGGAGUUUUUCUAGAGAAGGAGUUUCUCUCGAAAGAAGUGAGUGGGAGAAAAGUAGAACUUGAUGAGGUAACUGUACUUGCUCCCUUAUUGGAAAGUAGUACAUCACAAAAACCGGUUUCUGUGACACCUACACCAAUUAGUGAGGAAGAUAAUGAUAAUGAUCAUGAAACUUCAGAUCAAGUUACUACCGAACCUCGUAGAUCAACCAGUGUAAGAUCCGCACGAGAGUGGUACGGUAGUCUUGUUCUGGAAGUCAUGCUACUAGAUCAUGAUGAACCUACGAACUAUGAAGAAGCGAUCGUGAGCCCAGAUUCCGCAAAAUGGCUAGAAGCCAUGAAAUCUGAGAUGGGAUCCAUGUAUGAGAACAAAGUGUAGACUUUGGUUGACUUGCCCAUUGAUCGGCAAGCAAUUGAGAAUAAAUGGAUCUUCAAGAAGAAUACUAACGCUGACGGUAAUCUUACUGUCUAUAAAGCUCGACUUGUUGCAAAAGGUUUUCGACAAGUUCAAGGGAUUGACUACGAUGAGACCUUCUCACCCGUAGCGAUGCUUAAGUCUAUCUGAAUCAUGUUAGCAAUUGCCACAUUUUAUGAUUAUGAAAUUUGGCAAAUGGAUGUCAAAACUGCAUUCCUGAAUGGAUUUCUGGAAGAAGAGUUGUAUAUGAUGCAACCAGAAGGUUUUGUCGAUCCAAAGGGAGCUAACAAAGUGUGCAAGCUCCAGCGAUCCAUUUAUGGACUGGUGCAAGCCUCUUGGAGUUGGAAUAAACACUUUGAUAGUGUGAUCAAAGCAUUUGGUUUUGUACAGACUUUUGGAGAAGCCUGUAGUUAUAAGAAAGUGAGUGGGAGCUGAGUAGCAUUUCUAAUAUUAUAUGUGGAUGGCAUAUUAUUGAUUGGAAAUAAUAUAGAAUUUCUGGAUAGCAUAAAGGGAUACUUGAAUAAGAGUUUUUCAAUGAAAGACCUCGGUGAAGCUGCUCACAUAUUGGGCAUUAAGAUUGUCAGAUUCACGGGUUCCGGCAGACCCUUAAGGUUCGAACACUGGGGUGCGCGCGGAGAUCACGCCUUCUACCUCCCCGUCUCGUAAGGAUCUAAACUACUAAAAGAACUGCACAAGGAACACAAGAUUUAUACUGGUUCGGGCCACCAUUGUGGUGUAAUACCCUACUCCAGUGUGUGGUUGGUGGAUUGCCUCCUGGGGCUGGUGAUGAUGAACAAUACAAGGGAGAACAGCCUCGCGAGGGUCUGUUCUUGGCUGGGGUGAUGAACUGCUAGGAGGAGUUUAGUCACCUUUCUCUCUCUCUCUCACUCACUCUCUCUGCUUUUCUCUCACUUGUCGACCGUCUGGAACCCCGGACGAACCAACCCCCUUGCCAUGUGGGUGGCUGGUCCUAUUUAUAGAGGGCCUGGUCCUCUUCCCAAAUAUUGAGCGGAAAGGGAGCCAAUAAUGGCGGGCUAAUUUGAAGGGGGACAGCGAGUACACUUAUCCUGACUAAAGUUGGUCUCCGCCUGCCAAAGGCUCUGGUGAUGACACCGUGCUGGGCUCCAUGGUGACCUCCAUCUCGUAGUCCUCCUGGUCUUGGUCUCGUUGCACCGAAAUGGCAACCUUUGCCUGAUGCCUCGGUACUCCGUGGCUGCGCUUGCCCCCUUUGCACCAAAGAGGAAAGAAGGACGCUGCGCGCGCUGGCGCCCGCCUGGCACCCUGAGUCGUCAUGGCUUACGUCAUGGGCACCUCGCGAGGUACCCUGCCUUGAUAUCUCCACCUUCUCGCGAGCCAGCCUGAUGAGGCUGCGCCUGAGGAAACGCCGUGUCGUCCACCCCGCGAGGCUUGGCCCCUCGCGAGGGUCUUGAGCCUUGUGUUGAUGAAGAUGGGCCAUGCUGGGCCCCCAUUUGAGCCACGCCGCAGGCCGCAGGCAGGCAAGUCUGGGGACCCCCGUUCCCAGAACGCCGACAGUAGCCCCUGGGCCCAAGGCGCGCAUGGACUUGGCCGUGCCGAGAGGCGGAAGGGCAAGGGUGAAGCGCCGCGGGCCCUAACAGCCUGCGGCCUUGGGCGCCGCAUGGCGGUUGAUUGGACGCAAGUGCUUCAGCAACCGCGCAGGUUGAUAAAGGAGCGGCAUCUGCCCAGACUUUGCCUUUUGCUGCUCAGAUCCCCUUUCUUGCGCCUUCCCCUUUCUUCCUCCAAAUUUCCAGGUCCACAGCCUGCUGCGCGACCUAGGAAGCCAUGGCGCCUCGUCAGCCUCCGGCCGAAGCUUGGUGUUCUCCUGCCCUGGACUUGCCGAAUGUGUCCAAGGCUGGCCUUGCCCGGCUGCGCCGGAUGGCGGCGGCGCAGGGCAUCAACGGGACGAAGGUGUUCAAGGCCGGCACCGCCACCCCUGAGGGCCGAGGGAGCACCUUUUAUCCUCUCUUUGCGAGCUCCAUUGCUGCGGGCCUGGUGCCUCCCUUCUCCGAGUUCUUCUUCUCUGUCCUCCGCCAUUACAACUUGCAGGCUCUGCAUAUCCACCCCAACUCCGUUCUUCUUCUGGCGAUCUUUGCUUACUACUGCGAGGCCCACAUAGGGGUGCAGCCCUCAGUGGCCUUGCUGCGCCAUUACUUCUUCCUCCGGAUCUCUGGCAGUUCUCCUUCCGCGUGCGCGGGCUUCGUCGCGUAUGGCGGCACCAUUACCAUCUCGAAUCCCGGGAAGAGGGUUGAGGGCUUCAGGAGCAAGUGGGUCUUGGUAGAUGCCGGGUGCAUCCACCCUCGGCUGAUCUUGCCUGCGGAGCAGCCCGCGAGCUCCAGCGACUGGUGCCGAGCGGAGCUCACAGACCCCCGCGCGAAACUGGUGCUGGUGAAGAUGGACGCGGACCUGAGGCCGGUUAGUACGGCGGCGGCGAAGUUGACCGGUGCGUCGCUGCUGAAGGAGUUCCUGGAGUACCAGCUGGCUCCGCUCCGGCGGUACUCUCCUCCAAUGUGGAGGCCUCAUCCGAGCCCCGAGGCUGUGGACGAAGAGGAUGUGACCGCGGUUCUUCAAUCUCUGGUCGGGGGCGAGGUGGCAAGGUUGAAGGGUGCUCCCAAGCCCUUGUUCCUUCGCGACGACUGGGAGCAGGUGGUGAAGUCCAUGCCUGUUUUUAACGGGGACGGGCUCAUGCCCGUGGCAGCCUCCGAAGGACCGGUGGACGUGCCCUCCGGCGACUCCAGCGAGGAGGAGGACGAAGAGGAGCGGGGAGAGGGGCCCGACUCUGGGGCGACCGAUGGAGAGUCGAGGGCUCCCCUCCCUCGGCGCUUGUCCCGUACUCUCCGCCUUUCGCCGAGUGAUGAUGAUGAUGAUGAUGACGAUGACGCGCUGGGUAGCGGGAGCUCGCCCUCGAUCCCGAAGAAGGACAACACCGGGCUGGUCUCCCGCGGGUCUGCCCCUGCCCCGAGGCAGUCCGCAGACGCGCCUUCUGCUUCCAAGGUCGACCCUUCCAGCUGGCUGUCAGGCUUCAAGUUGGGCCGGAGGCUGCCCGAGCUCACCGGCGAUGACCCGUAAGCGCUUGAUCCUUGAUCUUUUGUUUCUCGUUCCGCCGACGAGGCUUGAUGAUUGCUUCUCUUGAAUAGGCUGGCGCCCAUGGCGAAGAAGCCGAAGGGGGCUCCUGAGGCUCCAUCCGCGGCAGCGCGUCCGCCCGUGGAGGGGGGUGACCGCGGCGCGCGGGCUUCGCCUGCCCGGUCACCCUUGGGAGGCCUGGCCAUGCUGGCGGGGCCGAGCUCAGCCCCCAUGGCCCAAGUGACUCCUGGGGUGCCCUCGUUUGGCGCCGCUGCUACGGCUGUGGAGGCGCAGCGUACUCCGCCUCGGGACACGGCGGCCUCGUCGCCGCUACCUUCUCCUCCCGUUCCACCGACCGUUGCUUCCCCAACUCCUCCUGUUGUCUUGGAGCACAAUGAUGUUUCUCCGCCUUCUUCUUCCAUCCUGGAGUGUGCCGCUGCUGAACUGGACCGGCUGCGGCAGGAUCUUCUCAGCGCCGACCCUCGCCUGGUGGCCGGGCGCCUGGAACUGGCUUCGGGGUGGAUUCGCUCUGAUGCUUCGAUCCGGGCGGUGUUGGUUCAGGCCUCGACGGCCUAUGACAAGGAGAGGCGGGCCGUCCUCGAGGCGAAGGCUGCCCGAGACGCGGCCCUGGGAGAGGUGGUUGAAGCCCGUGGUCAUUGCAAGGCGCUGGAGGAUGAGCUGCAAGGCCUGCGGGGCCAGCUCGUGGAGGAGGUACGUCUUCGCCAGGAACAGGAGAAGGGGGCGAAGGCGCGCGAGGCGGCGCUCGAGGACCGGGAGGCCAAGCUCAAGAAGCGCCGCGACCGCUUAGGCGCGUUAAAGAAGGAGCUGGAGGUGACGAAGGCCGAGCUGGACGCCAAGGCUCGGGUCCUCGCCGAGGAUCGCGUGGCCUUCGCGGACAUGGAGAAAGAUGCCCGUGCUUCGCUGAAGACGCUUUACGAGAACGGCCUGGACAGCCCGCUAGCCGGUGAUGGGGACGGCCCCGCCAAGCUGCUUCCUUUCCUGGUUAAGGCCCUUGGGGAUGUCGCCCUUGGCAUCGGCCCUACGGCCGAGGCCGAGGCGCGCGUCCUGUCUUCUGUUGCGCUGACGCGGGUCUUCGCCCACAUCUACCUUUGCGAUCCCAACGCCGACCUCGACAGCGUGCUGGAACCGGUGAGCGGCGGAGGUGCUGCUGCCGCUGUCGAAGCCGUGAAGGGGCGCGCGGAGGCGCUGCUGGGGAAGUUCCGGGCCUUCAGCACCAGGCCAAAGCAAGGCGCUGCCGGCCCUGCUGCUCCAUGAGGCGAAGCCACUCCACACAGCUUCACCGCCGACGAGUGACUCCGUUCCAUCCCUGUUCUUCUUUCAAUUCCUGCACAUGCAUCACGCCUCGGGGAGGCAUUUAAACUCGCGUUUGGUACCUAGACGGCAGUAUGGGUUGUAAUAUUUGCUUUUAAAUUCCUUGAAUUUUAUGCUUUUCUUCCCUACUUGCUUGUGUUCUACGUUGGCAGAGCCCGGCCCCGCGCGUGCCUCACCCAGCAUUAGCCCCGACCGGAAACCAGGACGGAACCAAAGGAAUGAGGGGCUACGUGACAAGUUAGGCUCCUGAGUCGCGAUGCUCAGGAGUCCCCCUUGGCGCGCGAACAACAAGUAGGGAGGCGUGAUGUAGGUGUAUCUUCCGUUCCACGUCUGCAGAGCCCGACUCCGCGCGUACCUCACCCAGCAUAGCCUUUCGGAACUAAGGAGUGAGGGGCUACGGGGCCAGUUAGGCUCCUGAGUCGCGAUGCUCAGGAGUCCCCCUUGACGCGCAAACAGCGGGUGAUGAGGUGAACUACAAGCGGGGCUACCGUUCUACGUCUGUAGAGCCCGGCCCCGCACGUACCUCACCCAGCAUAGCCUUUCGGAACUAAGGAGUGAGGGGCUACGGGACUAGUUAGGCCCCUGAGUCGCGAUGCUCAGGGGUCCCCCUUGACGCGCAAACGGCCUUCAUACCUUGGCUCCGCUCGGGGAGAGACGCGCGAUGAACCAGGCCCGAGGGCCCUGGCUGGGCGGCGUACGUCUGGGCGUGACCCAGCCGUAGCCGCCGUGCCUAGCCCCCUCACGCGGCACUCCCGAGGGGAGGCGUUGCGAUGAGGCCAGCCACUGAGCUCUAGGCUCCCUGAGGUUAAUGCGGCCCGGAGGCCACCCUCAGUUGUUUAUCACCAGCGCAGAGCAUAGCGCUUCCGUAUGUGUACGGGCAUAGCCGCUCCUCGGCAGUGUCAUCAGCCAGCACGGAGCAUGGUGCUUCCACUGGUACGUGGGUGGGGUCUCCCCUCCGGGAGGAGCCCCCGGGGCGUGUACAGCCCGGCCCUGACACGUGGCCGGCACGGUAGGGCUAGGUGAGGUGUAUCUGGGCACCCGUGAGCCAGCGCGGGACUCACGAGGCCCUACCUCUAGGCGGGUUGCGCCUGGCACUGGGCCGUAUCUUGAGAUAUGUCCCUGCAAAAUUUGGUUAGAUGCCGAUACUCUACGUCCUCGGGUCCUGGCCCUCGAGCUUGUCUCAGCCGUCGCUGGUAUGCCAAGUCGCGAUGCCGUGGACAAGGCCAGAGGGUGAGGGCUGGAGAGCCAGUAAGAGCCCUGAGUCGCGAUGCUCAGGCACCCCCCCUUUAAUGUGCAAGUAGUCGACAUGGAGAAGAAGGGAUGCCGCGGACGGGCAUCAAGUCAUCGAGCGCGAUAGGCGAAUGCAUAGCUGGAAAUAAACGCAAGGGAGAUACACGCCGCUGGGCCUAGCCCCAGCGGCUUGGGGAUGAUGCAGCCCGAGGGGCGCCCCCAAUAAGGCAAACUAAACGACCGAAAGAUAAAAGGGGAUACAUGUCGCAGGGACGGACCCACGCGGCCUGGGAGUGAUGCAACCCUGGGAGGGUGCUCCCAGCGGGGAAUGAGGCUUGAAACAUGUCACCUGAGGAUGUCGUUGGCGAAGUGACAUUGGUGCAGCAGACUCGGUGGGUUGCGGAAGCCGAUCCUCAUGAGCCCCCAGGCCCCGGGGCCUCGGGAGGCUCCGGAGGCACUGGUGACUCCUCACGAGCUGUCUUCAUCUCCACCAGCGCCGCGGAACGCCUGUCUUCCUGAGCCUCCAUGAUGUCCCUCAUGAGGCGCUGGUACGCCGCAGCCAUGCUCGGCAGGCCGUAAGGCAUGCGAACAUAGCUGUGGGGUGGACCCCCGCAGCGCCCCACUUGCGAGGGCCAGAGGCGCUCCGUUGUGGCGAUCUGAUUGAGCCCUGGUACGUUGAUGCAAACGCACAGCCCACCAUCCUUGCCAGGAUGUGGGGCCACAACUGGCGGACGACGGCAACCUCUCUUGAUCCUUGACUCCUGUAGUUCUUGAAUGGCCUUGUUAAUGAACUCCUGCUAGUCUGACCUUCCUUGCUUGGCUCCUUCUCGAGGGAAACGUGCUUCGAAGCACGCCUCCACAUGGUGCCCAAGCGCCUCCCUCGUGACCCUGGCUAGGUCGGUGGCCCUCCAGGUGAGAGCCCCCGAGCCCUGCCUGAGGAGGGUGCUGGGCGCGCUUUCCUAUGCGAUGGAAGGAGGGUCCUCCCGGUCGGACACGGGCCUUGAAGGGCCUGCCUCCUGAGGGGCUGAGCCUGACGACGUCUUCUUCUUCUUGGGGGUGGUUUCAGGAAGCCUCCUGCUUCCGCGAUCUGGGUAUUCUAGCGACGCGGCCUGAAAGGCUCGCUCCAGGGAACACACUGCAUCCUUCUCUUCACAGGGCACCAUGAUGACGCCGCCACUUCCUGGCAUCUUGAGGACGUUGUAGCCGUGGUGAGUCACGGCCAUGAACUUGGCCAGCGCUGGGUACCCGAGGAUGGCGUUGUACGGCAGGCGGAUGUGGGCGACGUUGAAGUCGAUGAGCUCGGUGCGGUAGUUGCUGCGGGCCCCGAAGGUGACAGGGAGGCGGACCUGCCCGAUCGGGACUGUGGAACCGUCGGUGACUCCGGAGAAAGGCUUGGUUGGCUGAAGCUGGUCAUAGGGCACUUGGAGGUUGUUGAAUGUUUCCACGGACAGGACGUUGAGCCCCGCCCCUCUGUCGAUGAGGGUCUUGGUGACCAACACGUUGCUGAUGACUGGGGAGCAAAGCAUUGGGAGGACUCCGGCCGUG
This 49181-nucleotide long non-coding RNA is filed under the name Triticum aestivum (bread wheat). RNAcentral describes it as "long non-coding RNA (TAES_LNC021235)". The record is from RNAcentral. Lineage: Eukaryota; Viridiplantae; Streptophyta; Magnoliopsida; Poales; Poaceae.